UUGAAGUUACACUUAAGGAAACCCAUAGUUGCCAAGUUGAGUUGAAGAGUUCUACCCCCAUCAGGCUUUCAAUUUACUACCUCAUUCGAUUACUUUUUUAUUCUUGUUUAGUUGCCUAUAUAAUAUUGUUGAACAAAUGUUUAAUAUGGAAGAAGCUUGUUUAAUUACCUAUAUACUUUUGUUGAACAAAUGUUUAACUUGGUAGAAGCUUGUCGAGAAAUUAACGAUAAUUACUAUAGAUGAUUUUCAGCAGAAAUAAAACACUUGAAGUCAGCAAUGAACACGUGUCAAUCAAUAAGAUGAAAUUAUCUUGAGAUUUACAUCGGUGCUAUCCAAUCAAGGAAUACACAAAUGUAUCUUUGAACUUUUACUUAAUGUUUAUUUUUUUCCAAAUUUUUGGAAAGUUUUCAAUUUACUUGAAUAUUUAAAAGCAAUAAAGGCAUACAAGAAUAACAAGAAGCUAACUCGCAAGUCAACUAACCCCCAAACUGAUAGAUACAUUGUCUGAAUGUACGAACAAAAAUAAGUUAAGGAUUAAUAGAAAUCCUUCCCAUGUUAUAUAAUGAUCCAUCUCUAGCGUGUACCCAAGAAUUGAUUUGUGCGACAUAGUUUCACCCCAAGCUUAGAGUGCUUUUAUAGUCCCGAACACGUGGGUAUCUAUUCACGAAAUAUUUCUUUCGAUUUGUUUCCGCAAGUGUACUACUUGCAACAAGUAAUAAGUGGAAAAUUGAGUCCAAAUGUCGUCCACAGAUUGAGUAGCCUAACUUUAUCCAACAAGAUAAAUGUGACUUGAUAAGCCCUAACCUAGAUUAAAUAUGCAAUUGGAUGUGAAUUUAAUGAACUAAAAAGCAAAAUUGUGUUUUAAAUACAAGAUUGAUGUAACUAAUGAAUGGAAAGUGCACUAGAAUCACAAAUCCAAAGCAAUCCUUGCUUUUUAACCCUAGUUCCACAAUUUGACAACGCGUUGAAGUUUUGAAAAAUUAAUGCUCCUAAAUCUAUUCUACAAUCUCUAUCGAGUAAUGUUGAACAUAUUUUCAUAUACCACUAGCCUAUAUCUCUAUAACGGGUGCAACUAUACAAGAAUAGAUGUGGUUUUGUGAACACUUAAAGAUUCACACAAGGCAUAGAGGUAUAUCUCUUUCCCCUGUCAGACCCUAUAAUGAUUUAUACCCUGUCGAAUUAUCUCGAAUGCAUGAAAUAAGUUACUACACUCACAUAAUUACGUGCACAUAAUCAUGGAAGACAUUAAUUGUAUAUAAAUCAUUCAACAAUUCAUAACAUGUUUUGAUGUCAAAAUUGCAAAACUAGAAAUUAAAUAGUUAUAUCACAAUGUCCAUCGAUCUCCUAACAAAUAAAAAUCUAGCCUAGCAUGGUGGAAGUAAGAAAACAAAACGAAUUUUGAAGAAGCGGCACCAUCCAAUUAAUUGUUGAUUUGAAUCUUCACAUCUUCGUGUUUCUUCCUUGUUCUAUGCUCUCAAAACCCUUGGGAAUAUGUUAGAAUGCAUGGUGUCAGUUUAGGGACAGCUCUAGGGUUGUAAAAUACCUUCCAAGAUUUGUUUCGAUAAAAAUUUCAGUUAGAUAAGGAAACUAGAUUUUUUUUGCCACGAUUGGCCUGGGCAGUCGCCCAGUAAGUGUUCCUUGAUGUUGGACUGUUGCCCAGUUUAUAAAAACUUUCGAAUGUUGCAUUUUAGUCCUCGAAAUCAAUUUUUGUACUUUCAAAUCCUUUCUUUUACAAUUUCAACCCUUUGACUUUUAAUUGCAUUCAAUUGAACCCACAGCAUCUUCAAUCCUCAUUUUGUGGUCUGAAUCAACUAUUAAAAUGUUGCAAUUUAGCCCUCAUACUUUGGAUUUUUCCUUUUUCUUUUCCAAUUGCUUAGAAACAAGUUCAUCACUAAAAUAAACAAAGUAAUAUGGUCCAAAUAAAUGGAUAGAAUGCACUUAUUAGUAUCGAAGAAAAUAAUAAUGAAUAAAUUAUUUUUAGGACGACAAUCUGUUAGAUAAAUUCAGUUUGAAUAAAAAUAAAAACAACUAUACUAUGAAUUCAAAAAUAGCACUCUUUUGGAUUGGAAAAAAAAAAAAAAAGUACCUGUGUACUACAAUUGCUCGAAACAACUUAAAAGUAGAGAAAUCAAAACUCAAAUCCUAAAUUUAAGUGUUUAACAUCACAUAAUCACAAGAAAAUCAAAGAAUACAUCUUUUCUGGCAAAACCAUUCAAAAUUCCAUUUUCUUAAACACUAAUUUUCAAAUACACAUUUCAUUGCUAUAUUCUUAAUUACAACCUCAAAUAUAUAUCAAUAAAACCUAAUUCUUGCUAAACUUUUGAAUUAAAGCAAAUUUUCCAUAAACUCUAAAAAUUCAAGUAACAUAAAUUUUAGUUACCUCUUGAAAAUAAGAAAAAUUGAGGAAUGAAAACCCCAGGCUUAAAAAGUCCACACUCUUUCAUCUUCUCCUUCUUCUUUUAAUUUUUAUUUUUCUUUUCUUUUUUUCCCCUUCCUUUUUCUCCCUGUUCGUUCUGUUUAUGCUUUCUAUUUUUCUUUUUCCCUAAAAUGAUAGGCAUAGCCCUUGUUUGAGCCCCAUUUUUGUCAAAAAAUUCUUUUUUGAAUAGUGUAAUAAUGUGAAAUGUGUGGUUAAAAAAUAAAGAAAAGUUUUGAUUUGCAUGUAUUAUUAUUUUAUUGAAAAAAUUGUGAUCUAAAUGAUGUCAAAACAAUGUUUAAAAAUAUUUUUUCCCCAAAAAAUGGGGCUUAAACAAGGCGUAAAUGGACUCAUAUGUUUAAAUUUAAUGGAUGGCUAUGAGUAAUUGCAAGUCAAGUAACCAAUCUUUAUAUAACAUAACAUUUAGUCUUUGAAUUUUCAAUAAGAGAAAAUAAGUCCCUAGAUUCCUUUAUUAUAUCAUUUUUAGCCCUCGGGUAUUUGUAAUUACAAUUUAAGUGCUUCCCAUGAAAAAUUAUUUAUUCACCUUAAGUCCUUAAUUGACUUUGACUAAAUAGCCACUUGACUUUAAUUGUAAAUGAGUGAGGUAUAACAGUUGGGCUCAAUCUCUUAAUGAACAUGUCAUCGACACCUAUAGUUGGGCUCAAUCUCUUAAUGAAUAUGUCAUCGACACCUUAAUGCUUUUACCAAUGAGAUAUGCAAAAACUUUAUUGACCAGACUAUAACAUGUUGCACUUGGUUUCCUUAAACUGAAGUAAUGACCUCGUAAUAGUAUAUCCCUAAGUUGGUCACAUAUAAAAUACUUUUCUUGUCCCCUUCAUCCAUCCAUAUCUAGUGAUGGCCCAAGAAGGUGUCAAGUAAGAUGUAUAUCUGAAGCCUCGAGUUUGAGUCCACAAGGUGAUUGGUCCCGCUUAGGCAGUUGUAUUUAGGAAAUGCAAUGUUGAGGUCGAUAUAGUCAACACAAACCCACAACUUGUAAUUUGCCUUUUUCACAAAGUACAAUAUUGAUGAGCCAGUCUAGGUAGUGUACAUCUAGGAUGGAUUUGGCUUUAAUCAAGUGAUUGAUCUCCUUCUUUAUAAACUCUCUCCAUUCUAUUACAAAGAAUCUUUUCAUCAUGGGAUCACAUUUAGCCAGUUUAUCUUUGUUGUAUCCGAUUAGACAUUCAACCAUUUAUUCUUGGAGGGGACCAUUUAGGCCUGAUCUUGACAUUACGGUCUUGUCCUCAUCGAGGACUAAAUCCAUGAGCGUGUUACAUGGCAAUAGUCUCAAGGGAUCAAUGAUGAUGAGUAUGCUUUUUUGUUUUGAUGUAUGAUGUUGGAAAAUACGGGUCGUGAGUCACUCAUAUGGGAUAAUCCCUACCCAUAAGAUAUUAAAAGUGUUGGAAAAACUGGUUUGAACUUUAAAUUCAAAUGUACAACUCUUCAUAACCUCCCUUAACUCAUCCACAUGACCUCUAAUAAUUGUCCAGGACAAAGAGAGAAGAUAAAUGGCAAAAAUAUGGUAAAAUUCGUAUGAAAACUACCACAAAAAUUGAAAAAUGCCAAGAACCAUAAAAUUAUGCACUUGGAUUGUGGAUAAUAAUCCCCUUCCAUUGUGAUCAGAAUUGAGACCAUUUGAGUGCUAAAAUAUGAAAAAUCAGGACAUACAAUAACAAGAUGAUUUAGCCACACAAAGAUCAUGGAAUUCAUCAUUUUAAAUAAGAAUUAUUGAUAUGAACUUAUGGUCAAGCUUGCUGCAAUUUCUUUUGUUGGUAAUUGACGCCGGGUAGGAUAAUGAUUAUCCUAUUGGCUUGUUGUAGCAGAUGAUUCGCAAGAAAAGAACGACAGAAAACGCCCAAAAACCAGAGAAAAUACUCUGAAUUCAACUCAAUAUUAUUAAUAACGCAGAAUGAUGAAAACUAACCCACAAGCCGGGUUAAAUAGCUGCGAAAUACGAAAUUAUGGGAAAAUUACCAAAAAUGGCAAAAUCCCAAAAAUUAUACCAAAAUAAAAUAUUAAGUAAAAGAAGUAAGUUGCCAAAAAUUUGGCUCAAUUCGAGUUUUCUAACAUAUGGAAAAAAGGAAACGAAAUAUUACCAUAAAUAGUAAAAAAUAACUUAAAAUUGAAUUUUGGAAAGAAAACAGUGGAUUUUGGGCUCGAAAUUGACAUCCACCAGCAUAGCUCGGUGGCCACGAUGUGCGCGCUGAAGAGAGCUUUCCGAAUUGGGGUCAUAAUAGCGAUUCCGAUAACCGUAGCCAAAGUUAUGGCCAAAUUACCAAAGACGCGUCAAAUUCCCCCAAUUAUGGAAAUAAUGGUGAUUCACUUUCCAUCUUUGCGCCGAUCCGCCAUCUCAUGAUAUCUCAGCGCCAUCAUCGUACUAUCUGACAAAUCAGCAUCACUUGAUUCGGAUCCUCCUGCAUCAGUCGCCCCAGGUUGGAAAGAACUCGCCCUCGAGUUCACAGUAACUUCAUCGGACUCCAUAAAACAAGGGCUUAGGUGUUUUACAUUGAAGACCUUAGAGGUCUUCAAAUGGCUCGGGAGGCGUAAUCUGUAAGCAUUAUCAUUGAUCUUCUGCUGGAAAUUCUGAAUCCACAUUCGCUGUACUAUUUUCACGAGGCAUUAAAGCAUAAACUAUUUUUUCACGCUCAACCUCAAUCAAGAACCUAGACAUCGAAAGUAGAUUGGGGUUUUUAACUACCGGGGCAGGGGUGUUUCCUUCCCUGCGAGGCACCAAAACAAUUCUCUUUCCUUUGAUGCUAAGAGAAUAAGUAUUCUUCCGCCCAUCAUGGAUAACACUGCGAUCAUACUGCCAAGGUCGUCCCAACAAAACAUGACACGCGUCCAUUGACACCACAUCACACCAAGCAUUAUCAAAAUAUUUUUUCCCAAUCGAGAAAGACACUAAGCAUCGUUUUUCUACCGUUGCCUCACUGCCUUUAUUUAGCCAAGAUAACUUGUAUGGUUUAGGAUGAUGAUCCAUCUUCAGUUGCAGUUUCUCGAUAGCCUCCUCAGACACUACAUUCUCACAAUUGCCACUAUCAAUUAUCAGUUUACAGACUUUAUCAGCAACUGUGCAGGUUGUGUGGAAAACGUUGGUCCUCAACCAAUCAUCCCCUGAGUCUCCCUUGGGAGUCAGCAGGCUCUUUCGAACGACCAGGGUCUCCUGACCAUCUCCAUAUAGCACGUCCUCAUCUUCACCCUCAUCAUACACGGGUUCCCCAACUUCCUCAAACUCCUCUAUCAUAUCCUCCUCAAUCAGAAGAUUUUUAUUUUUCUGACCAGCAGGCUUCCUACAAUCAGUCGCCCUAUGCCCCUGUUCACCACACUUAAAGCACUUAAUACUUGAGCUGGAACUAUCCCACUGUGGCUGAUAAGCAGGGCGAGAUUCUUGAGGACGAACUGGCUGACUUCCUUCACCUCUGACCACUGGCCUCCAACUUUGCUGUUUCUCUACUGCAAGUGCUCACUGAUAUGCCUCAGAAACUGUCCACAAUGAAUGAAGGCUGAGAACAUCCUGCAGGGGCUGCCUUAAUCCCCCCAAAUACCGUGCUAUCAUCUGCUCCUCCGUCUCAGAUAAAUCAUUUCAAGCCACCAACUGAUAGAAUUCUUCAGUAUAAUCAUUAACUGAUCUUGCGCCUUGCCUUAGUGAAUGAAGCCUCUGGAACAAUGUUUGAGUAUAGCCGAAAGGGAGGAAGUGCCAUUUCAUCUUCUUCUUCAUCUUCUCCCAGUUAGUAAUUUUGGAUUUCCCCUGUCGCUUCCGUGAACGCUUCAACUGUUCCCACCAUGCAGAUGCCCUACCUUUGAGUUUGAUGGCGACUAGUUUCACUUUGACACGAUCUGGAACCUCCUUAUAUUCAAAAAUCCGCUCUACUUCAUUCAGCCAAUCAAUAAAUCCUUCAGCCUGCAACGUACUAGAAAACUCGGGCAGAUCCACUCUAAAAACCGAGAUCCACAUGACGAUCCUCCCGUCCACGAUGCUCCCAAACUCGAGCACGGUGGUGAUAUGGGUUUUCGAAACUGGUAUCGAAAUCGUGACCUUCUACAUCAUGAUUACCGAACUCCUGCUCCGCCAAAUGUUGGGUUAACUCCGCAACUUGUCUCUGCAAAUCUUCAAUCAUCACAUCCUGAAUAUUACGAUCACGGUGUUGGACUUCCUCAAUCAGAACCUGUCCUCGACGACCACGACCACGUCCACCAACCAUUAGAACUGAUGGAAUUUAUCUCCCAAGAAGAUGCUGACGCUCUGAUACCAACUGACGCCGAAGUAGGAUAGUGAUUAUCCUAUUGGCUUGUUGUAGCAGAUGAUUCCAAGAAAAGAACGAUAGAAAAUGCCCAAAAAACCAGAGAAAAUACUCUGAAUUCAACUCAAUAUUAUUAAUAACGCAAAAUGAUGAAAACGAACCCACAAGCCGGGUUAAAUAGCUGCGAGAUACGAAAUUAUGGGAAAAUUACCAAAAAUGGCAAAAUCCCAAAAAUUAUACCAAAAUAAAAUAUUAAGUAAAAGAAGUAAGUUGCCAAAAAUUUGGCUUAAUUCGAGUUUUCUAACAUAUGGAAAAAAGGAAACGAAAUAUUACCAUAAAUAGUAAAAAAUAACUUAAAAUUGAAUUUUGGAAAGGAAAAUAGUGGAUUUUGGGCUCGAAAUUGACGUCCACCGAGCAUAGUGGCCACGAUGUGCGCGCCGAAGAGAGCUUUCCGAAUUGGGGUCAUAAUAGCAAUUCUGAUAACCGUAGCCAAAGCCAUGGCCAAAUUACCAAAGAUGCAUCAAAUUCCUCCAAUUACGGAAAUAAUGGUGAUUCACUUUCCAUCUUUGCGCCGAUCCGCCAUCUCAUGGUAUCUCAGUGCCAUCAUCGUGCUAUCUGACAAAUCAGCAUCACUUGACUUGAAUCCUCCUGCAUCAGUAAUAAAGCCAUAAGAUUGAAUUCCUUGUUGUAAUACAUGCUUAAGUAUGCUACAUGAUUCAAUUGGGUUAUAAAUCUUGUAUUCAAAGUUUUGAAACCUAAUGUGGUCUUUAUUGGCAUUUUUUGGUAACAUGUCUAAAAUUAACAAAUUUCUUGAAUUACGUAUAUAAUAUGCUUUAGAGUUCAGCUGCUUCAUCAAUUGUCGUUUUUGGAUUUGGGAGAAAAUUGAAAUCCUAGUUGAUUUUGCAGAAACUUUAUAGAAAUUUACUACUUUUUGUAUGUUGAUGAUUAUGUAGUAAGAUUGGUAUGGAUAGAAAGAUAAACUUUUUCAACCGUAUAAAGAACAAUAAUUUUGGACAUAAAAUGAAGAAGUUAUGUGGAUUUGAAGAUUAGGUUGAAAUCUAAAAAUUUAAGAAAAAUUGGAGAAGAUGAUGGUGCAAUGUACACAUGAGAAGAAAAGGCACCAAUCAAGAGGCAAGAAAUCUGUUAGAUUUCAAUAGACAAUAGUAAUGGAUCAUUCACAUUAAAAGUAUUUCCAAUCAAUGUUCCCUAAGGAGAAGCCACUCUUUGUCUUUAAUAAAACACUAGUCAAUAUCUAGAAAGAGCUAGAGUCUGGUUAAAAAAUUAAUUGCUGGAGAAGAGGUCAUAAAAGACAUAGUAAACAAGUCAAUCUCGAAUAUAUAUUUUACGAUUAUUUAAUUCAACACUUUUGAUUAUAAUAAUUUUUUUUUCAUAAAUCAUUGAAAUUUUUAUCCAGCAGCUCAUGUAAAAUCAUUGUUGUCAUACGUGGAUUCUAACAAUUUGACACUAGUAUCCAAAGAAUGUUCUUCCUAUCUUUCAUUUCAUCUAGGUAGCAAACACUGAAGAAGUUUAAUUUAAUUAAUGCUUCCUAAUAGGAAUUUGUUUAACAUUCGUUGAACUAUAAUGCUAUCAAUAACUUGGAGUAAAGAUGUUUCCAUAUAUGUCUCCAAUCAGUUGAGGUGUCUCUAUGAAGAGGUGCUAUAUGCUAUCAAUAAUGGAACAAAAUCAUAUACAUAUCAGGAAAUGCAAUAGAAAAAGUGAUUAUGGUGCAGUAUGCACAAUGGAAGAAAAGGGAUAAAUCAAGAGGCUAGAGAUAUAUAUGUCAAUUCCAAUAAUAAUUUCAAUUUACUAUGAGUCCAUUCCCAUUAAAUUUCUUUCCAAUAAAAGCUCCCAAUUGAGAAGCCACUCUUACGGUUUCAUGCAAAACCUGUUCAUAUUUAGAAACAUGUAUAGUUAGCUUAAGUAAAUAGAUUGUAGGAGAAUGUUUAGUUAAUAAAAAAAAAUGAACAAAUAAAAUGAUAAAAAAGUUUAGCUAAUAUAGUUAUGAUCAUAGGAUGCAACUCUAACCAUAGAAAUUACCUAUAGGAACAUUUUUACAUGGUAAAACGUAUAAAUUUGUGGCGAGGCCAUUGAACACUUAUUCAUGUAAUGAUGAAUACUUUAUAUUUUUUACAUGUCUUCUCCCUUGUAUGUGUACAAAAGAACUCGUGAUCACAUGCAUGCACUUUAUAAUUGAAGUAUUUUUUAUAAGAAAUAAAUCCUCAUCACAUCAUCAUUAUAUUCCACCAUUUCACAUAUGCAAAAACAUGGAGUCAUAAUAUUCUAAACAUGUGCUUGCAUAAUGAAAAACAAUAAUUUAUUGGAUAUAAAUUUAUUAAAUGCGUAAGAACGAUAAGAAAAGUUAAAUGAAAAAUCUAGUUAAAUAAUUUGCAUUAGCUCGUGCAUUUCUUGUUCUUUCAUUUAUAAACUGUGACCAAACUUUAACCGUUUAACUUAAAUUUACUCCAACUCUGUUGAAAUAAUGCAUGGAUUCGGCCAAAUAUUCUUUUCAAAUACCAUACCAAUGUUUGAACAUUUUCCAAUGUUGGAAGAAGGACAAUUAAUUUAUUCCAUCUUACAUUUUCAAUGUAGAAAAAGGACAAUCAAUUAUUUCAUCUUAACAAUUCACUCACCAAAUUUCGUACGGAACGAAUUCUUCCAAUUAAUUUUCUUUUCUUUUCAAAAUUGACACGUUUUCAAUUAUGACAUGUUUUUGGUGACAAUCCUGGUAAGAAAAUAAAACGGAUCGAGUUAGGGGAACGUAAUGGUUGAUAUAGGGGAUGACCGAACACACACCUCAGGGUCGGGCAUUAUUUUAUUCAUGUGGGACCUGUACACUUUGUGAGGAUCGAUUAUCCCGGAUAUCAAACAUUUUCAGGCAAAGUAACAUUUUCCAAAUAAAACAAUUGCUAACAUCUUAAAAAUCGGUUAGGGAUUUUUUUACUAUUAAAAAUAAAUUUAUGUUAGGUUAACUUCAUUUUGUCACAUGACCUUUGUACUCGGAAUAUUUUACGAGAGGGAAAAUAUAUGUGUGUGUGUGUGUGGAGAAAAACAAUACAUAUUUUAUGGAAUAAACUUCAAAAUCGAAGAAAAAUUAUAGACUAUCGAAGACUUAUAUAAUAUAAUAAGAAAUUAUUCCAAAUAUAUAUAAUUUCUUGACCUCCCUACCCCUCAAUUAUCACACAACAUAUGCUUUGCCACACCCACAAUAUUUUUCAUUUGAACAAACAACAAAGACAACAAAAAUACUAGCUCAACAAUAGACUAAUUUUUUGCUUUCUGGCCUAUACACGAAAGAAAACUAAACAUGUCAAGUUACAAAUAAAGUGUGACCAAACUUUAACAGUUUAACCAAAAUUUGCUCCAACUCAGCUGAAAUAAUGCAUGGGUUCAGUCAAAUAUUCUUUUCCAAUGCCAUACCAAUUUUUGAACAUUUUCCAAAGUAGAAAAAAAGGGAAUUCUUUUAUAUCACUAACCUAAUUCGUAUGGGAAAGAUUCUCCAAAUUAAUUUCCUUUCGUUUUUAAAAUUGAUAUAUUUUCAAUUAUGACAUGUUUUUGGUAACAAUCCACAAAAUAAAUAAAUAAAUAAAAAUAAUAAAUAAAUAAAAUAAAAUAAAAUAAAAUAAAAUACUGAUAACAUUUGAUAAGGUAUGAAGAAUAGGUUAGGCCUUUUUGUAUUAUUGAAAAUAAAUUUAGGCAUUCAAUUUAUGUUAGGCCUACCAUGGAUACGAUGAUAUAAAUAAAGAUCAUGAAAUGGGUUAGAAUGACGAUGAAAUAGAAUUCUGAAUUGCAAAUAAUAUUUAUCAACUAUUAAAACUAAAAAAUAAAAAUAAAAAAUUUAAGAAAAUCAUGUUUUUUUUAAGUUUAUUGAAACAUAUGAACUAAAAAUCAUAAAGAGUUUAAGAUUAAUUUUGAUAGGAAGGAAUGUUAGUCAAGAAAAUGAUUUGACUCAAAAAGUUAAAAUCUAGUCUGUCUCAAUCUAUUUAAAUUAAUCUUUUUAUUGUUUAGAAUGGGUUCACGAGUCUAAUGAUGAUGUCACAAAAACUAAUGUGUAAUUUUACCUGAAUUUGUCUGAAAAUAGUAAAGUCUUAAUUAAACAAUUAGUUUUGAUUAAAAAUAGAAGCAAAAUUUAAAAUGGAAAAGAGCUCCUCAUUCAUUACUGGAUUGAAACUUCCACAUGUAGAAGGAAGAAUAAAUAUGAUAUUUUUUACUUGAAAAAUAAACUGCAAUAAAUUUUGAGCUCUAUUUAUUAUCUCCUAUAAUUCCUUCUAUCACAUGGCUAGCUUCAAAUUGUUGUAUAAAAAAUUUGAGCUAUUUCUUUAACCCGGAAAAUAAAAAACAAAAUAAAAAUUAGACUGUUAGUUCACUUAUGAAACCAUGAACUUUUUUGCUUAGUUUCUAUUAUUUUUGACAUAUUGAUUCGUUUAUUAUAGCUUUGUAUUUACACAGAUAAUUUCUUGUUUAAAAGUUAUUAAUGCAUAAGUUGUGAGAUGGAAAAAAAAAAGAAUCCAAUUGCUUUCUCAAUAUUGCAUUCUUGUGGAUCAAAUGUUUUGAAUGUUUUAUUUAUGGAAUUUCGUGUACUGUGAAAUAGCAAGGCUACAGAUUUUUAUUUUUUAUUUUUUAUUUUUCCUUAUUUUUCUAAUUUGGGGUGAAGACAUUUAUUUAGUUCCUAUUUUAGAUGAUAAAAUUUACAGACCUUACUCGAACAUCAGUAAACCAAUAUUUGCAUUCUGUUUUACAGUUUUGUCGGAAUUUAAAAUUGUCCAUGGAGAUGAUUUAAUCUUAAAUUAAGUGAAAUUUUUAAGUUGUACUUGAAAUACAUAUUCUCUCGACCUCAAAUAUAACACAAAUAUGUUUUACACACCCUUGAUAUUUAACAUUUGAAUAAUCGACGAAGGCAAUAAAAAAUUAGCUGAAUGACAGACUGUGUCUUUUUUCCUUUUUGGUCUUCUAUACACAAAAGAAAACAAAACAUGUUAAAGUUAGAACAUCCUUAUUUGUCUUCCUUUAAAACAAAAUUCUUUGAUUCUCAUACUAAUUUUUAACUAUAUAUUUUUUUAAUAAAAUAUUUUGCACGUAAAUUCAAAACUUUUACAUAAUUUUCAAUCACAAAUUGUCCAAAAAAUAUCGCUAUUCAAAAAUCAAAAUUUUCAAAAAAUGGCCAUCGAACGGGGUUUGUAAAGCAUAUCGUAUAUAUAAUAGAGAGUCUUUAAAUUUAAUGAGAAAAAAUUUAUUCACUCUAAUAAUUGUCUUUAUUUUGACUCUUCAUUUCGUGUAUUUGAAAAAUAUUUAUUUGUGUUUUUCCUUUAUUUAACAAAUUUUUAUAUGUCAUUAGCCAAUCAAUUCAAUAUGAUCGAAUAAUUUAAGAAAUAUAAUUUGUAGCUUAUUAAAUGAUAUCGUUAUAAAAUAAAAAGAAAGAGUAUAUUUGACUCUAGAGUAAAAUUGCCUCUCUAUUUUAAAAAGAUAGAAUAGAGAGUCUGUUUAAAAUAGAGAGUGUCUUGUGUUUAGAAAAUUUUUCGGAGAUGUUUUCAUAAAUAAACUGUGACCAAACUUCAACCGUUUAACUUAAAUUUGGUCCAAUGCUCUUGAACUAAUGCAUGGAUUCGCCCAAAUAUUCUUUUCAAAUACCAUACCAACUUUUGAACAUUUUCCAAUGUUGGCAGAAGGACAAUUAAUUUAUUUCAUCUUACAUUUUCAAUGUUGAAAAAGGACACUCAAUUAUUUCAUCUUAACAAUUCACUCACCAAAUUUGUACGGAACGAAUUCUUCCAAUUAAUUUUCUUUCCCUUUCAAAAUUGAUACGUUUUCAAUUAUGACAUGUUUUUGGUAAAAAUCCUUGAAAGAAAGUAAAAAGGACCGAGCUAGGGAAACAUAAUAGAUAACGUAGGGUAUAAUCAAACACACACAACUCGGGGGGUCGGGCAUUAUUUAACUCACUUGGGACGUCGCACUUUGUGAGGGUCGAUCAUCCCAAGUGUCAAACAUUUUUCGGGAGAAAGUGGCAUUUUCCAAAUAAACAAGUUGCUAACAUCUUAAAAAUAGGGUAGGUCUUUUUUACUAUUAAAAAUAAAUUUAAGCUUUCAAUUUAUGUUAGGUCAACUUCAUUUUUUCACAUGACCUUUGUACUCGGAAUAUUUUACAAGAGUGAAAAAAUAUGUAUGUAUAUAUAUAUGGAGAAAACGAUACAUAUUUUAUGAAAUAAAUUUCAAAAUCGAAGAAAAAUUACAGACUAUCGAAGACUAAUAAACUACAUAAGAUAUAAGAAAUUAUUCCAAAUACAUAUAAUUUCUCGACCUUCCUACCCCUCAAUUAUCACACAACACAACACAUGCUUUGCCACACCCAGAAUAUUUUUCAUUUGAACAAAUAACAAAGACAACAAGAAUACUAGCUUAAUAAUGGACUAUUUUUUUGCUUUUUGGCCUAUACACAAAAGAAACCAAACAUGUCAAGUUACUAAUAAAGUGCGACCAAACUUUCAAAGUUUAACCAAAAUUUGCUCCAACUCAGCUGAAAUAAUGCAUGGGUUCAGUCAAUUAUUCUUUGGUUUUGCUAGUAGUACAUCGGGAUGUACCUAAUGGUGUACACCCCACUCACAUGGGCGAGGGACCCACUCGAAUAAAACAUCCUUUCUUUCACAUGGAUCCCACACCCAUGUGAGUGAGGUGUACACCAUUCGAUACAUUCCAUUAUGUACCACUAGACAAAUUCAUUAUUCUUUUCCAACGCCAUACCAACUUUUGAACUUUUUCAAAUGUAGAAAAAAGAGAAUUCUUCGAUAUCAUUAACUGUUGUCGAUUUUAUCCCGCAAGUCGAUCCCACAGGACUAUACUUUAGCACGUAAUUCAAAUUUCUUUAACCACUAUUUGAUGAAAAUAAACAAAAAUGAUGAUCGAUUGUGAUUUUUGAUCUAACUACUUAUGAGAAUGAAUGCAACAAAAAGUGAUUUGGAAUUCAAAAAAUAAAUGGAUGUUAGGGCGGAACAACUUCACUUAUUGGUCACAUUUACUUCUAAUAUCGAGAUUCAAAAAAUGUAAAGUAGUGUUCGAUCAAAUUCUUGUUCGAUCAAAUUCUUCUCUUGUAUUCAAUUUACCGCUCUUGAAUUCUCAUUGAGCAUAUUUAACUACUUCAAUUCCAUAUCUCUAUAUGAAUCAAACUUAGUUAAACACACUAAUAGUUCUAAGAAUUCAUUUAUGACCGCAGCAAUUAAUAUAGGCAUCUCUACACGUUAUGUUAAUUUACCAAAUUUUAAUAUGUAGUCUAAACAAGAAUCCCCAUCUCUACGCAUUUAUUGUUCAUGAAAUCAUUGAAUAAUUGGUUAGAAAAUUCAAAGCAUUAUGAACAUGAUUAAAAUCCACACAUAUAAUCAUAACGAACAAUAAUCUCAAAUAAAAUAAAUAAAGGGUUCCAAAUAGGUUAUAUUGUUUGCCCUAAAAUUAGAUUUAGCAUCUCAUAGUAAUGAAAGAAAAAUAAGAAAUUAUUAUGGAAGAGAUCACUGAAUUUUGAAUGCAUAUAGAAUAAGAAACCAAUCUUGCACCAAGAUCUUCAUCCUCUUCCAAUCAAUGCGUUAAACCUUCAAUUUCUUGAUGUUUUCCUCUGAAUUCCUCUUUUUGAUUCUCUAAUUAUGUUCUUUUGCCUCUCAAUGCUAAACCCCGCCCCCCCCCCCCAAAAAAAGGUGUGAGAAACUUGUAUUUAUAAGUGCCUCCUUGUAUAUGUAGAAAGUGUGAUUUUUAUGGAUUUCAAAAUGGGCCAAAAAACGCACCCUAAAUGUACCUAGUGGCGCCUUGACUCCUUGAAGUGGCGUCGUGGCGCCACCUUUGAGGCAAACAACAUGUCGCUUAGUAUUUUUAUUAUAACUUUCUUUUCCGAUAUCCAAUUGAGGCGAUUAAAGUUGUGUUGGAAUGCUAACUCAAAGAGCUACAAUUUUUUUUCCGAUACCAUUUUCAAGUUUGAUCAUUUGUUAUGUCAAAAACGAGUCUCAAUAUGAGUCUGAAAACGGUGCAUACAUUUUUUUUGGUUGAAAUUAGAUGUGUGAUCAUACUUUGAUUAUAUUUCAUUCCUUUGAUGUCUUUCUUUAUCCAAUUGACUUCGAGCACUUUUGAAUCUUCAUCGUGAGGUCUGACACAAAUUUUGAGUAUUUGUACUUUAGUCCCCCGAACUUUGGAUCUCUUACAACUUAGUCAUUUUCUCCAAUUUUGUCAACUUUUGCUUAUUUCCUUGAAUUUCUUGUAAUGUCAUUGAAUUUUACCUAUUCAACACCAAAUGCAAUAAUUUAGACCAUAAUUCAUUCGAGAAACAACUAUAGAUCAUCGUUUUAAAGUUUUGAAUAAGUGUAUAAAAUACACUAAUCAAAUAUCUCCAAACUUAAACAUUUAUUUGUCCUCAAACAAAUCUAUCAUCUAAAUAGCUACCAACAUACAAGCAUACAAAAGAUAAUGGUUGGACAAUCAAGCUUUUUACCUCAGGAUUCGAGAUUUUGAUGUUUAUUCCACAAACAAGCUUCAAAGUCACAGUACCACAAAAAUAUCUACUUUUCCAGUGCAAAAGCGAUGUGUGUGUGUAUGUGUAGAAUUAAGAAAUCAACCAUAACUACACAAGUUGUUUUAAUUCCCGACCCUCUAUGGUAAAAUACAUCCUUACAUUUCUCGUAUGAUUCACACACACCUAAACUUACAUUUUUUCACUUGUUCCUAAUGUGUAACAUAAGGUUGAAUAUUUCAUUACUAUCUUCAUCCUCUCGAGUUUAGGUGGACAUUUGCAAGUCAACACUUCAGUGAUCAGAAAUUCUUUAAUUAUUUGAUUGCUUCGACUGUCACGACUUAACUAGCUAAUUAUUCUUCAUCAAAAGUCAAAUUUCAUUAAAUAAGUGUUAUGUCUUAACCAAGAUAUUUAGUGCUUUUGCCCUUUUUAUGCACUUGUUUUUUCUAUUUUUCACAAGUUUGUUUUUUUUUUCAUUAAGCUUUCUAGAUGACCCCUAUAGUAGGUUUUAGGUCGAUGCCUCUCAAAUCAGAUGAUUUUAGGACAAAAGGUUUUAAACACCCUUACAAGCUUAUUGAUCUGAAACAAAAAGGUUUCGAAGAGAACCAAUUUUUGUUUUAAGUGCAGCUUCAUCUUUAAUUGCCUUCUAAAUGACUCCUGUAACGUGCUUUAAGCUGAUGACUCCCAAGUCAUACAACUUUAGGGCACUAGGUUUUAAGAUAUCCUUGCAGACUUAAUUAUUGGAGUCAUAAAAACUUCAAAGAGAAAUAUUUAGAUUUCAAAUGUAUAUACCUUAAUCAGUGCAAUGCCCCUAUCACACACUUAUUCAAACAAACCAACAUCCAACUUAAGACUUUGGCCUAGUUUUAUUAUGUUAGUCUAAGACAAUCCACACACAAGUUUUCACAUAUGAAAUCCAAAUUCACAUCCGCAUCUUCCUAUAACUGUAAAGUCAUCCCGAAGUAUGCUAACUUUGGUCUAAGGAUAAAUAAUUUACUAUGGUUUAGGUAAAGCAUCUAUGUCCAAUUAAAUCAACCUUACAAACAAAUGAAUCAACUCAUUUUAUCACAGUGUCAAAUUCAAUUUUAGUGCACGUAUAAUAUUAAGUUUUGUAAGGUUAAGCUUCAAUAAUCAGUCUAGCAUGCGUCCUAUCCAUAGUUCAUAUAUCAACACCAAAACUCAAAGUAAAAUGUAAUUAUAAGCCAAACUUUUCAACUCACACAAAAAUUUUAGGUAGGCAAUUAGGAAAUUAAUAAUAAUACACUUUCCCAAACUUAAACUAAAUAUUAUCCUCAAUGUUAAACUUAAAGGAAAAUGAGGAGGACUUCUUUGAAAUGUCAAUAUUGCCUAUGAUGUUGUGAGACCUUGGUGUUGCAUUUGAUCGACUCUUCUUCCACAUCCCCCCCCCCCUAAAAUUGAGAUUUGUCCCAUUUUCUCCUUGUUCAUGUUGGUUUUAGAGUUCCACGAUGACAUCUUCCUAAAAAACCAAAUUUGAAAAAUUAAACUCAUGGAACAAGGGUUACUUAGCUCAAACAAUUAAUAACCAACUCAAUUACUCAAAUAUCUACGAGUAGAAGGGUAUGAGUGAUGAUUUCUGAAUAAACUAUACAUUAAACUAAGCUAUCCUAUAACUCGAAAACAAAAUAAAUAAAAAAAGCUUGGAUUACCUCCCAAGAUGCACUUCUUUUAAGUCAUUAGCUUAACUUGUGCCACUGAUUUAUCAUGGUGGCUAGAACCAAGUUAUUCCAUCAUUGCACUUUGUCCAAUUUUCAUUUAUACAGGCCCUUUUUGUUCUCCAGAUUUUGAUUUGUCCAUUCUCAUCUCUACCAAGAAGUCCCCCAAAAAUUAAUUUUCUGUUCUGACAGCUUCGUUGAUUAGGUAGCCCUUCUUCAUCAAUUCUACAACAAUCAAUUUUAUUGGGAGGUUUUUUUUAUUGAGUGUAAAUAUUGAAUAUCUCUUGCUUGUCUUCCAUUCUCAAGAUUAGUUCUCUCUUCUCCAUGUCAAAAAGGGUUCGUCCCCUUGCUAAGAAUUGCUAACCCAAUAUAACUGGAAUGUCUAGAUCUUCUCGUAUGUCCAAUACAAUGAAAUCCACAAAAAUUAUGAAAUUUCCUGCUUUUAUGAGUACAUCCUCAACUGUGCCAUGCGGCCUUGAAAUUGUUCUAUCAGCUAGUUGUAGCAUUAUUGAUGUUGAGUUGACUUUACCUAGUCCCAAUUUUCUAUAAACAGAAUACGACAUUAGAUUGAUGCUAGCACCCAUGUCACACAAUGCAUUAAUUGAACAGGAAUUUCCAAUUGAAAUUGGUAAAGUAAAACUCUUUUGAUCCUUCAAUUUAAGAGGUAAUUUGCUCAGGACUCUUGCACUACUUUUCUCAGUAAAUGCCACAGUUUCAAACUCCGAAAGCUUUCUUUUCUUUGUCAACAUCUCUUUUAAAAAUUUCGCGUAGUUUGGAAUUUGUAAUAUCGCAUCAAUGAACGGAAUAUUGAUUUGGAGCUUUUUGAGAAUAUCGAGGAAAUUUUCAUAAUUUAUACCUUGUUUAUUCUUCUUAAGACCUUGUGGAAAGGGAAUGGGAAGCAUGUAAGCUUUGGCUAGACUUGUUGCUUUAGCAGUUGUUGCCUAUGUACUUUCUUCGUUUUCAAUUGCAUUUGGUGCAGAUUUUUCCACCCUUGUAGCUUUAUCAAUCACUUCCUAGUCAUCUUUUCUUUUGGGUCUCUCUGUAGUCAUCUCUGGCGAUUGUACCUCGCUAUUUGUAUUUAUGAAUUGAAUAUUUUGCUCCAUCGACUUCUUUUGAAGUCUUUAGGGAAACGAAAGUGGAGGUACAUAUGCUUUAACUUUCACGGGGGACCUUGGGUGGAUCGUUCUCCACUACUUUAAUUGCCAUCUCCUAUUUCUUAGGAUUUAUCGUUGUAUUGCCUGGAAAUGUCACUAGUGGGCAUUCUGUAUGUUGUCGCGCUAUCUGAUCAAUUUGUGUCUCCAGUUUCUUGAUGGAUGCCUACGGAUUUUGAAAGUUUGUGCCAAUGUGUUAGAACGCCUCGUCAAUCUUUUGCACAUAUUGUUGAAACAUCUUCCCCAAACUUAGCAUUCUUUCUUGUUGAAAAUUGUUCCCAUAUGAGUUGAAAUUACGAGAGGCAUUUUGAAUAAAAUUUACUUGUUCCUCUGAAGAAGCAAGCAUCAAGCAAUUUUUUGUAGCAUGAUUUCUCCUACAAUUCUCACAAGUUGAAUUGGCCAUCACCGCAUUUAUUCCACGUGUUUCCAAUUUUACAAGUAACUCUACCUAUUUUAUUAAAGCUUCUAUCUGUGCAUUGGUAGAUGUUGUACUGUCUAAUUCAUACAUUCUAGAUGCCUUUGGUGGUACCACUCUUUUUGAUGAGAACGUUCAAUGUGUGGUGGCUAUUAACUCAAAUAGGUCCAUGGUUUGUUGCACUAAUUUCCCUAUGAUUGAUCCACCUGCAGAGGCAUCUACUUGAGAUUUUAAUAGUGAUGUAUGUACGAUGUAAAAGUAUUGCACUUGGUUUCCUAUAGUGAUUCCAUGUUUUGGACACUUUCUCAUCAACUUAUUAAAUCUAUUCCAUGACUCUUGAUAGCUCUCUCCAUCUCUUUGUUGAAAAGUUUGAAUAUCCAAUUUGAUUUUAGCUACUUUCGUUGAUGGGAAAAUUUUGUUGCAGAAUUUUCUCGUUAGUUCUUCCCAUGUAGUACUACUCUCAUGAGGCUCCACAUCUAACCACUCCAAUGUAGCAUCUCUCAGUAUAAAUGGGAAUAAUUGCAAUUUAAUAGCAUCUUCAUUAACUCCCGGAGCAUGGAAGUUUUGAUAGUUCAUGAUAAUUCUGGAGAUAUGGGUGUUCGGAUUUUCAUGAGGUAACCCAUAAAAUUGGAGAGUGUUGCUCAUCAAAUUAACCCAAUCUUGCUUGAUCUAAAAAUUAUUCACCACAAAAUCUGGAUACACAAUACUGGAGCGUGCCGGUACUGCUAUAGGUGUUAAGAAUCUUAAGACUGGCAAAUCUCCUUCAUUUAUUUCACCUCGUUCAUGCUACUACUCUUGGGGUGUCUCUAAUCUUGAGGCCACUUGUCCAAUUGGCUGAAUAGGAAUAGGAAUAGGAAUAUGUUGAUUGUCAGCCAUUUGAUGUUGUUUUUGUUUGUAUUCUUUGCGUCUUCGUCGGAAAGUACAUUCUAUCUCUUAAUCAAAUGGCCGAAGAUUGUUGCCUUGGGCACGAAACAUACAACAAACAUAGUAUUAUGUAAAUAAAAAAAAUAAAAAAAUCAAAUAAAAUUUAAGAAUAAAAAUAAAUUAAGAUUAAAAGUAAUAGUCGCCAACAACGGCGUCAAAAACUUGUUGUCGAUUUUAUAUCUAGCAAGUCUAUAAAUCGUAAUGAGUAAUAAGGUGGACCUAAGAGUCCAGAUUGUCGAUCCCACGAAAACUAUACUUUAGCACUUAAUUCAAUUUUCUUUAACAACUAUUUAAUGAAAAUAAACAAAAACGAUGAUCUAUUGUGAUUUCUGAUCUAACUACUUAAAAUAUGAAUGGAUGCAACAAUAAAUGGAUGUUAGGGUGGAACAACUUUACCUAUUGAUCACCUUUACUUCUAAUAUUGAGAUUCAUAAAACCUAAAGUAGUGUUCGAUCGAAUUCUUCUAUUAUAUUCAAUUUACCCCUCUCGAGUUCUCAUUGAGCCUAUUUAACUACAUCAAUUCCAUAUCUCUAUGUGAAUCAAACUUAGUUAAACGCACUAAUAGUUCUAAGAAUUCAUUUAUGAUCGCAGUAAUUAAUAUAGGCAUCUCUACGCAUUAUAUUAAUUUACUGAAUUUUAAUAUGUGGUCUAAACUAGAAUCUACAUCUCUACGUAAUUAUUAUUCACGAAAUCAUUGAAUAAUUUUCUAGAAACUUCAAAGUAUUGAGAACAUGAUUAAAAUCUGCACAUACAAUCAUAAUGAAUAAGAAUCUCAAAUAAAAGAAAUAAAGGGUUACAAAUAGUUACAUUAUUUGCCCAAUUAGAUUUAGUUACUCAUAUUAAUGAAAGAAAAACAAGAAGUUAUUAUGGAAGACAUCAUCGGGUUUUGAAUAAGAAUAUAGAAUAAGAAACCAUUCUUGUACCAAGAUUUUCUUCCUCUUCCAAUCAAUGCGUUAAACCUUCAAUUCCUUGAUGUUUUCUUCCUUUGAAUUCCUCUUUUGAUUUUCUAAUUAUGUUCUCUUGCCUCUCAAUGUGAAAAAUCUCUGAAAAAGUGUGACAAAUUUGUAUUUCACUACAACAAAACUAUGAUUUCGCAAUAAGAUUUUUUGCGACAUACAAAAAGUUGUCACAAUAAGUGACUUAAUGUGACACAUUAUUAAAGUUUGACGCAAAGAUUUUGAUGAAAAAAAUAAGUACCAAAAAAUAUAAGACGACAUAAAAAGUUGUCGUGAAAUGUGAGAAGUUGUGACAAAUAAUAAAGAAUGUCGCCAAAAAUAUGAGGGAAGCAAUGUAAUGGUUGUUGAUCUUGUGCUAAUAUUCAAUGUGAGAUAUUUGAAAUAUUUUCUUUAAGCUGAUAUUUCAUUACCUUCUACAUGUACGUGUUUGACUAAAUUUGUGGUGCUUUUCUUUAUAGGAAUUUUCAUUUAAUCAAAGAACAUAUUGAUGGUGAGUUGGAAGCAUAUCUUGGAGUCAAGAAUGUUUUUGGUUGUCCAGUGAGUUUUUUUUUUUUUUUUGUUAUUUAUUCCACAUUUCUAGUUCUAUUUUCUAAUUUUUCAAGUUUGUUGAAUCAUUCAAAGUAGUUCGACCUUGAAAUCAAUCGUACUAUAGUUUAUCCGUAUAUGUUUUGAUUUUGGAGACAACCAAGUUUGUAGAUAAUACGUUGAUCUAUAUUUAUUUGGUUGACAGUAAUAUGAUUUUUUUUUCUAUUUUGAUAUCAAUUAUAUUUUAUUAAUUGUAUGUUGAAGCAUGCUCUUCAUAAAGUCACAAGUUAUUUCAAGUAAAGUUACAUUUUCAUUUAAAUGUUCACCACAGUAAAGAUUCCAUUACGACGAAAGAAAUUGAAAAUUAUGUGCUUAAAAUAGAGUCUCCGACAUGCAUAAAUAAAAAUAGAUUCAAUUAGGCGACAAUUGUAUAUCGUUGAAGUGACAAACCCUUUGUGUUGCAGGAUAAAUUUAACAACAAGCACAAUUUGACAAAUAAAUAAAAGUUCAUUGUCACAAAAUACUUUACGUAAUAAUAUUAUAUGUUGUAAAAUAAAAUAUGUAACGUAUAUAAAUAAUCAUGAAAUAAAUUAGGCAACAACCAUGCUCAUUGCACAAAUGAUGGCGCAAAGAACUAUUUGUGUUGCGAAAUAAAUUUAAAUAAAAACAUUACUUGUUACAUAAAAUAUUGUAUGACAAAUAUUGAAUAUAAUAAAAUACAUUAUGCGACAUAUCAAAUACAUUGUAAAACAUAUUUCACAACAAACAUUAAUUGUUAUUAAAAAUAUAUUACCACGUGCAUAUGUUGCUGCAAAAUAAAAUAGGUAGCAAGAGUGACACUUUUGAAAGAAUAUUCGCAACAAAUAUUUUUCUCAUAAAAACUUUAUUGGAAUAAUCGUUGCAACAAACUAUCAUGUUGCCCCUUUAUUUUUUUGCAACAUAUACGCAUUGCGAUAACAUUAUAGUUACAAUUAUCGUAUCGCUGUUUCAUAUUUUAUGCGGCAAACAAAUAAUGUUGUGAUUUUGUUAAUGCGAUAAAUGGUCGAAAGUUAUCGCAAAAUAUAUUUGAUGACUCGACAUUUGCAACAAACAUAAUUCUGGUAAAAACUUUAUUGGAAUAUUCGUUGCGACAAACUAACUUGUCACCCUUUAAAUUUUUCGCGACAGACACACACACACACAUAUUGCGACGACAUUACGGCUACAAAUAUCGUUUGCCAUUUCGUAUUUUCUACGCCACACAAAUAGUGUCGUGAUUUGUUAAUGCGAUUAACGGUCAAAAAAUGUCGUAGAAUACAUUCCCUUACUUAUAUAGAGCGACAAUACUUUCAACAAACGUAUUGUCAUCACUAAAUUACUUUUGCAACAAAAUCUCAAUUUUUGCAGCAACUUAUUUCUGUCGCAAAAUCGGUUAUUUUUUGUAGUGUUUAUAGAUGCCUCCUCGUGUAUGUAGAAAGUAGAAUUUUUAUGGACUUUAAAAUGGACCAAAAAUGCACCCUAGACGCACCCAGGCGGCUCCUUGACGCCUUGAAGUGGCGCUGCGACACUCUUAUGUGGCGCCGCCUUUUGGGCAGACAGCAUGUCGUUUAGUAUUUUUUUCAUAACUUUCUCUCCCGAAAUCCAAUUGAGGUGAUUUAAAUUGCGUUGAAAAGCUAACUCAAAGAGCUAUAAUUAUACUCAAGAUGACAUUUUAAAAUUAGAUCAUUUAUUAUGUUAAAAAUGUGUCUAAAUAUGAGUCUAAAAAUGGCUCGUACAUUUUUCGGUUGAAACUUGAUGUGUGAUCAUACUUUGAUUAUGUUUCAUCCCUUUGAUGUACUUUUUUAUCCAGUUGACUCCGAGCACUCUUGAAUCUUCAUCAUGAGGUCCAACACAACUUUUGAGUAUUUGCAUUCCAGUCCCCGAAUUUUGGAUCUCUUACAACUUAGCUCUUUUCUCCAAUUUUGUCAACUUUUACUUAUUUCCUUCAAUUUCUUGUACCGUCAUUGAAUUUUACCUAUUACACACCAAAUGCAAUAAUUUAGAUCAUAGUUUAUUCGAUAAGCAACUAAAUAUCAUCGUUUUAAAGCCUUGAAUAAGUGUAUAAAAUAAACUUAUCACUAACCUAAUUUGUAUGGGAAAGAUUGUCCAAAUUAAUUUCCUUUCCUUUUCAAAAUUGUUAUAUUUUCAAUUAUGACAUGUUUUUGGUGAUAUUCAAUUUCCCAGUUAAUGCUAAAAGAAUAGGUGUUGUCGUGGUUUUGAGUUGAAAUGGGGUUGAUGAUCAAUUCAAGAUUUGGCAUAUGAAUUUCUUGGAAAUGAAAUUCUGUGCCUGGGGGUGUUUGGUAAACAAUAUAAAGAGCAGAUGAAGCUUAAUUUUUUUGUGUUCUGUAGAAGAACAGGUUUUGGUUAAAUAUAUAUUUACUGGGGAAGCUAAAGCUAAAUUUACUUAAAAAUAUUUAUGUGAAAUAAUUCCUAAAAUUUCUUGCACUAUAUUUGGUAGUUUGACAGUGAAGGGGUGGGUAUAAAGAACUGUGACUGCAGGCAUUGAAGUUGGUGUUGGAAUUGGAAUUGGUUCAAAAAUUAACCAAAAAUUGGUUAAGUUUAAAAUUGGCAAAAUGAAAAGGUGUGACUUCGUGUCAACCUUGGUCGAAUGUUCGAACUUGCCUUGAUCAAAAAUUCAUCACUUGCAUCUUUCUUCCUUCAUUUUUUAUUUCUCUUAAUUAAGAUUUGAUUUCAGAAACUGAUUAAUAUUAUUUACAUGUUUGUUCUGCGAGGUUUGAUUCAAAAGAAUAACUUGCUUUCGUUCAAAAAUCGAAAAAGAUGAAUCCAUAUUCAUGCAUUCGGAUUCGGUAACUAUUAUUAUUUUGCUUCUCAAAUUCUACUUUGGUAAGUUGAAUUAUGUUUCGAUUUCAUGCAAAUAAAUGGUAUGCUUUCAUGAAUAUAAUAAGCACAUAAUCGGUGUAUUCCCAAACAAUCUUAAGAUGAAUUUUUUGGUGCGCUUUAUAUUCUAAUUCUUUUAGAAUUUGAAGUUCUAUAUUACGUAAUACAAUUUUACAGUAAGUUAUAUAUGCUCACGUGGCUAAACUUUAGAGUACAAUUUUCCAUGAGAUUGAAUAUAACUGCUCUUCAUUAGAUGUUUGAGAUAGAUUUAUUAACGUGAAUGUUUCAAACAUGAAAUGAUGGAUUCAUUAAUGUGAACAUGUCGUUUGAAUUCUGAAAGAUCAAUUUAUUAAAAAAUGUCUAAUUGUAAUGUUUGUCAUCAUUUUAUACUAUAAGUUGUUUUCUUUGAACUCCCAUUUUGGCCAUGGUUGAAGCCCAUCUUCUAAUACAACUUGUUGCUUCAAUUUAAUUUGUAAUUAAUUACUGGUUCUUUGCAAGUGUCUGUUAAUAUAUAUUUGUAAACUAAUUUGUAAAGUCAGUUUGCAAUUGUGAAUUCAAUCAUGAUGUAACUGCCUCAAUUAAAAGUAGCCAACUAUUAUAUGCCGUCCAUUCAUUUAGAUUAUGAUAUAUGAUUGCAAUUGUUAAUGCAUAGCUGGUGAACGAGUAUGUUUCUUUCCAAGAUGAUUUUUUUUUGAACAAAUGAAUGGGGUUCUAAAAGUAGUUUACUGGAUGGCAACAAAUUAUGGAAAUACGUGGACCUCCUCCAUGAGACAUUUUAUAGAAUAAACAUAUACAAAUGAAUGUACAAAUGUUUGGAAUAUAUGUUGCUAUUCCUACCCUUUGUUCAUGAUGAAUUGGAUAUCGUUAAAAACAACUCGAGUCCAAUAAUGAAUGGAUGGAAAUAAGAAAAUUAUUCCUAACCAUUGGACAUAUAAGGAUGCCAUUAUUUAAUGAACGUAUAUGAACUUUCAUAACGAUUCCUUUGAUUGGAAUAUGAUAAUGGCAUGGUAAAUUAGUUGAAAUUUCAUAUCUUAUUGAAAUUAAACUAACUUUCACUAUGGUGAUAGCCUCAAUUAAUUUCAUAAAAUUAAGUGAGAUGAUUUAAGUGGAUAUCAUUAUUUAGUAAUGAGAAUUAAGCCACUUAAUUAUUUUUGAAAUCGUAGAAAAUUUUGCAUGGGAAGAUGUGUCUUUUCAUACGGAGAAUCAUGACUUUUGGUAUGAUUAAUUUCCAAUGGGUGUGUCUCUUUAUAGAGAUUAAUUCAAGAGGUGUGUCCUUUUAUAGGAUUGUGUCUUUUGAGAACACAACUUUUCAACCGAUGGUUGAAAUGAAACUAUCAUGUGAAAUGUCACAAAUGUGAUAAGUUGCAUAUGUUUGAAGAAGUUGCAAUGUUUAGCCCUCUUUAUUGUUGAAUUUGACUUCAAUCAUGAAACCAAUUAAGUUGGUAUAUGUUUUGAAAGCAUUGCUGAUCUAUAUGAUGGCCUUAAUUUAAUUUGAAUGAUCAAAUUAAAAUAAUUGAAUUAAUGUACGUUAUAUGCAACUUUAAUUGAAAUAAAUUGUGAGUCAGCGACCACUACUUUGAAAGUACUUAGACUUUCAUGAAGCACUCGAUAUGAAUAUUAUCUAAGAGAUAAAUAAAUUGAACUAUGAAAGAGUUGCUAAACUCUAAGCUCAAGUAUAACCCAAGAAUGUGGGGGGGGAGGGGGAGGGGGGUUAAACUUAAUGCUCGUGAACUUGAAUGAAAAGUUUAAAAAUUAUGGAUGCAACGUUACUAGAUUGCAUAUGUAUUCUUAAUUGAGGAAUUGUGGGGGUAACUCAAUUUAACAGUUACAUUUGCUUUUAUCUUAUAAUCAUAGAAAGAUGUCUAUCAAGGUGAAAAGAUAGAAAACCCUUAUACUAAUUAUAAGGAUGAUAUACAAUAAGUCUAAAGUGUAUUAAAUGGGUAGAAGCCAAUUGUGACAGAUGUUUGGACAUGCAAGAACAAUUGGAAUAUGUGAAGAAUAUUCAUAUAGUUCAAAUGCUUGGUAAUGUUUCAAUGAUGAUAUUGAAUACCCAUGAUCCAGAAAUUCACUUAUAAACAUGGUUGACUAGUAAAAUAAUUAGUCAGAAAUCCUUCAAACUUGUUUGGAGUUGAUAAAGUUUUAGAUAAAGCUAAUAAGAAGCAUCUAGCUUCAUGGAAGGAUUUCUUGGUGGUGACAAUUUGUAUCUAUUAAAUGAAAUUGAUCAUUUGCUAGCAAUAAUUGAUAAGAUGCUAAGUCACAUAUAAUGGUAGGUCUAGACGUAUAAGUCAUAGACAUAAUAUCAUUAAGCAGUUGAUCUCAGUAAUGUAAACUCAUUGUACCUUUAAAGAGAUUUAAUAAGAGAGAUCAAGAAUACUGCAUAUCGAAGGGAAUGAGGUAAAGCCUACUACGUUAGAGCCCUUGUAAUGGUAACCCUACAUUGUUGACUGGAGAUCCCAAGAUCUUGGUUCAAAGGGAUAACUAAGUUAUGAGAAUUCUAUGAAGCACUAAGGAAAACAGUUUCCUAACUCAUUCCUAUGACAUUAAAGUGCUUUCUGCAGAGUUGCAAGAGGUUAAGAUAAUCUUUUAAUGAUUCCUAUGUCUUGAUUAAGUCAAGUGGAGUAGGGCAGAAUACUCUUAAUAGGAGGUCACUUAUGUGAGUGUGAAGUGGGGCCUCUUUAAUGAGAAUUAUUCAAGGCUUGAAUUCUUUAAACACUCGUAGAACCAAGAAGGGUUCAGGGCCAAAAUGAACCAAGUCAUGAGAACUAUGAACGAUUUAGGAAAGACAUUUGUGUGAGUAUUGUUGUCUUGGCUUACACUAAAGGCUGAAUGGUUCAAGACAUCACAUUCACCAAUUAGCCAAGUAAGUGAUGGUAUUUCACUACGGAAGGUUCAAGGCCAUAAGCUACUAUCCCCAAUGCAGUGGCUUUCCGCUCUCUCUCUACUUGCAUCACAUCAUAGCAUUACAUUUGCAUACUUGAAUUUUCAUUCAUGUCGGGGAUUGUUUGAAUUUGUUCAAAAAUUAACUGAAAAUUGGUUAAGUUUAAAACUGGGAAAAUGAAAAGAUGUGACUUCGUGUCAACUUUGGUCAAAUGUUCGGACUUGAUCCGAUGGUCAAAUUACAAAAGUAAAUAGACCAACUUAUUCUACUAGUCAAGUAGAUCGUCGUGGUAUAUUUAGAAUCUCGAAAUCAAUUUCGGAUGAAUGAGAAAUUACAGUCCAAAGUUGGAAGAAUGAAGAGUUGCAACUUUUCGAAAUGACGUAGUUUUAAAUUAAUUGUUACAACUUUUCGAAAUGAAGUGUUGUAACUUUCUAUGAAAAAUGCCGGAUUUAGGGUGUAUCCUUUCAUCCACAACCCUUCAUCUUCUAUGUAUAGGACCCCUUGGAUGUGUAUUUGUAAUUCCAAUUCAUUCUAUAAUUCCAUAUUAUUCAUUUUAUGUUAAGUUACAUAAAACACUUUGUAGAAGUGAUUAUCUUUUGCAUCAAAAUCAUUGUUAUAGUAGAGAGGGAAUUUCGUUUAAGUUCGUUGGUUGAAGCCAUUUGGAGUGCUCCUGUGGCUUGACGUGGUCGUUGUAUCUUGGGAGAUGAUUGUUGAAAAACCGUUAGCACCGAUGCGGGGCAAAUUCAUCUUAAGGACCAAGUGUCAAACACUUGUCUCGACAAAAAAUUCAUCACUUACAUUUUUCUUCCUUCAUUAUUUGAUUUCUCUUAAUUAUGAUUUGAUUUCAAAAACUGAUUAACAUUAUUUACAUGUUUGUUUUGCAAGUUUUGAUUCAAAAGAAUAACUUGCUUUCGUUCAAAAAUUGAAAAAGAUGAAUCCAUAUUCAUGCAUUCAGAUUUGGUAACUAUUAUUGUUUUGCUUCUCAAAUUCUAUUUUGGUAAGUCAAAAUUACAUUUUGAUUUCAAGCAAAUAAACGAUAUGCUUUUAUGAAUAUAAUAUGCACAUAAUCGGUGUAGUCCCAAACAGUUGGUGAGUUAUAGAGGCCAAAUUUGGGUUGAAAAGGGCAAUUUUCUUUCUAUUUUCAUCUUUUGCUGUUGAAUUUGCAACAAUGAAGCCCUCUUCUGUUGGUUUAAAUUAGUAGUACCCUGAAGGUAAAGUGUCUUUUCUUCAAGUUAAUUACUCGCUAUUUUAAUGUUGCAUAUCUUACAAAAGAGCUUCCACUACAAUUUCAUUUUGGCCUUUUUUGGGCGAGGCCAGAAUGUAUGUAAAAUUGCAUAUUCUUGACAAGUUAAAGGUAACAAUGAACAAUAUCAACCUCUUUAUACAUAAUUGUAAUAUGAUUAUAAUAAGCAAUGUAGAAUCCUCUUGAUGGGAGCUUAGUAUUAUACCAAUUGUGAAGGAAGAGAUAAUGAAAAUUUUAAUUUCAUGGCUUGGAGGGAGGCUUCAAUGGGGUAGUUGGAUGACAAAAAAUAAGCUUUUAUAUCAAGAUACUCAUAUCCCUCUUUUUGCUGUGAGUUUUUCUAUCUUGAACGAGACUUUAUUAUAAUUCUUAGGAUUGAAAUGUUUUAUUUCAAGAUUCCCUAUAUAUGUCUCUUGUACAUGUUAUCAGAGUUAUUGAUUUUUUUGCCAUUAAUGCUCCUUUUCAUUUUUGCUUUGUAAUUUCAACAUUCACACCAAAAAAAUUUAUUCUUCAAACUAAUACCAUUUUGGGAGGAUAUAAUAGUACAAGAAUUUUUAUAAUUUUUUUUUGAUUUUCAGGUGAUAAGAAUUGCCUAAAUUCUAAACUUUGGCAUGCCUAUGCUGCUCCUCUUGUUUCUCUACCUGUUGUUGGGGGCCAAGUAGUGUAUCUUCCGCAGGGUCAUAGUGAAUAGGUUUGUUUCUGGGCCUUUUAUUUUGAUAAGUUACAGUUUUCUCAAGGUCAAAUGUUUGUUAAGCUUGGUACAUUUACUAUUAAUUUGUUUUUGUUCAGGAUGUUUGACUUGUGCUCUUUAUGGCAGUGGUGUCUUAAAAAAAAGAUCAUGUUUAGAUCAUGAUUUCUCAGUAUUUUGGUGACUUUAAUAUUUGUUGACAGGUUGUCCUGAACUGACCAACCCAACCUGACUAAUAUUUGGUUAGGUUGGGUUUCCAUUCUUCCAUGGGUUGGGUUGGGUUGAAUUUCAAUCAAAUCGACCAUUUUGGGGACUAAAAACAAUCCAACCCAACCUCCAACCCAACUCCCACCCUUGAGUGAUAAGGUCUAAAGAAUAGGCUAAGCCUUUUUGUAUUGUUGAAAACAAAUUUAGGCAUUCAAUUUAUGUUAGGCCAACCAAUGGAUACAAUGAUGUAAAUAAAGAUCAUGAAAUGGGUUAGAAUGAUGAUGAAAUAGAAUUCUGAAUUGCAAAUAAUAUUUAUCAACUAUUAAAACUAAAAAAAUAAAAUAAAUUUAGAGCAUGUUUUGUCUUUUUUAGUUUAUUGAAACAUAUGAAUUAAAAAUCAUAAAGGGUUUAAGAUCUAUUUUGAUAGGAAGGAAGCUUUGUCAAAAAAGGAUUUGACUGAAAAAGUUAAAAUAUAGUUCGUCUCAAUCUGUUAUAUGUUAUAAUCAAAGCUUUUGGAGAUCCUAAUUACUAGUUUGAUGGUUCGAAUUUGAUGAGUUCAAUUAAAGAGCAAGAUUGGGAAGAUUGGUUGACAUUAGACCCAUCAAGUGGCUCUUCAACAAUAAUUUCGAGAUGAAGCCUAAUUAAAACUUAAUUAAUAAAAUAUAAUAUGAUGUUAUGCACAUCAUAACAAGUUGAAUCCUCACAUUCAAGAAACUGAUAAAGAAUUCUAUAAUAAUGUAUGUAAUCAUCAUUCAAGCAUAAUACAUUUACGACUUUUGUCACAAAAAAAAGAAAGACCCAGGGCCCGUUUUAGAUUGUUUUUCGGAAGUCAAAAUGAGCUUUUGAAAUUCAAUCACUGCCUUUGAACCCAUUUAGUUAAUUUUAUUAACAUAGUUGGAGGAUAAUCCUUAAAAUAAGGACUUUCAAUUUUAGUCAUUAUCUUGAUUUUUUCUAUUUUUGGAAAUAAAUCUAUUUUAAGUUUUUUAUUUUUUCAAAUUUUCCUAGGGUUUUCCUAUAUAAAGCAUUGUAAGCCCCCGCAUUGAUUGUCAGAAAUAAAAUUUUCUUUGAUUUUUUCAUCCUGUGAGAUUCGUUCAUCUUUCUAGGCUCGUUCCUUUGCCAUGGCGUCAGGGAGAUGUCCAGAUACGUAAAGUCCUGACAGAGGAGGUGAACAAACAUGAUGAUGUUUCAAAACUACGUUAACAAGUGGAGUUUUCGACCGAGCAAAUUGCUGCACUCAUGCCACAGCAAUAAGAGCUUGUGGGUCAAUCGCCUAAGGAUUCUGAAGAUGAAAAUUUGUUUGUGCAACUUGAUCAUCUCAUAGAUCUGCUAGUUCGACAGAGAAGAGGUGGCCAAAAGGAGAAUAGGCACUAGGAAUCAAGGUUUAAGUUGAUAUCCCUGAGUCCCAUGGUGUAUUAAGUCUAGAAAAAUUCUACUAGUAAAUGUGUGCCUCUUGGUGCAACGAGAUUUUGUGAACAAGCAGCGGUGUGGUGACAGCAGACAAAGAUAACGAGGUCCAAAUUAGGGAAGGAAAAGAUUACAUCUUGGGAUCGAUUAAAGAAGCACAUAAAAAAGCAAUUUCUGUCCUAUAAUUAUGUUCGGACCAUGUAUUAGGGAUUGCAGGAUUUGCAUUAAAGCUUGAAGAUGAUUGAUGACUAUACGAUGGAGUUUUACAUGCUGAUUAUCAAAAACGAGGUGAUGGUGACGAAGGAACAGUUGGUGUUGCAACAUGUGGGUGGUCUUUGUUCCCAAAUAUAGGAUGCCUUAAAUAUGUUUGAUCCUGUGACAGUUUCUGAAGCGCAUCAACGGGCGAUACAAAUAGAGAAGCUGCAGUCCAGGCAAAAUAUAGGUCCUUUCACUGCAACGGAUUCUUCAAGUAAACCACAGCAGCAGACAACAAGUCUUGGUAAUCCUAGCCAGGCUAGUUCUUUUAGAGCAAAUCCUGUUCAAUAGUGAACACAUCUUGGAAGUGGUAUUCAUUGCUUCUCUAGCGGAGGUAUGGGUUAUAGACAAUCUGAAUGUUUCAAAAUUAACACAAAGGACUCUUUGUUGAUGAGGUGUAUGGAGAUUAUGAGGAGGCACUUGUAUUUGACAAUGGAGACGUUGAAGUAGCAACAGAGGAUAAGGAAUUUGUUGUUGGUGAUGUGGGCCAAGUGUUCGUGGUAAGAUGGAGCUUUUUUUUUUUUACUCUCUUGAAAGGCAAGAGUGACUGGUUGCGUAAUAAUAUCUUUGAGUUUACGUGUACAUUUGGGAGAAGUAUCUACAAGUCUGUUAUUGAUUUUGAGAGUUGCGAGAAUGUAGUGGCUAAAGAGGUCGUUAAGAAAUUAGGUUUGUAGACUGAGAAACAUCACAAACCAGAAAUGUGUUAAAACUGAUAAAUGAAUAUAAAAUGCAGUGAUUCUCAAGCAAUCACUUUCGUUCUAUUGAAACCCUCUAUACAUUUAUGGUGAUUCUUUAUUUGAUGCUGAUGUGGUGCAAAAGGAAUUAGACAUUAUGAAAAAGUGGGAUUGAUGCCGGUAGGAAUAGGUAACUUUCCGAUUUUUGGCGAAAUUUUGGGGAUGUUCAUUUUUGGUGAAAUUUUAGUCAAAUUAAAUUGAAAACGGGCUAAUGAACAAUGCUUAGUGACUUUCUUCCUACAUGAGCCUAAUUUCGGGCAAAUUCAUUCACUUAGGCCCUUGUUUAUGCUUUUUUUGCUCUCCAUCAAUUUAAGUUGCAUUUGAAUUCCGUUUAUUGAAGGAUAAUUCUUAAGAUUAGUAUUUCCAAUUAUUAUUAUUAUUAUUAUUAUUUGUUAUUUGUUAUUUUUUUGAAUUUUCCUAGGGUUUUUCUAUAUAAAACAUUGUAAGCCCUUUGUUGCCGCAUUUAGUGAUGAAAAUAAAAAAAUUUCAUGAGAUUCGUUCGUCUUUUCUAUAACUUUCUGCUAUGCCACCUUCCAUAGUGACACGUAUCUCAACAUCCUUUUCAUGUUGAUACCAUCAUUCUUCUUUAAACAAUAUUUGCACUCCAUUUUCCAAUUUCUCCAUUGUCUUUUCCAAAAUUUCUUUUCAAUACUUUUAUAGCCUCAACAUAUAUCUCAAAUCUCACUCUUUCUCACACCUUUACUCUCUCUCUCUCUACUCCCAUAAACAACCUACUUGCCCUCCUCCAACAAUAUCUGGUGGAGUGAUGAAACUAGAUUGAUCGAGUUUAAUAUCCGACCCAUUUAUCUCCAAAGGACUCUCACUAAGCCGAGGAAGAUAGUGCAGCAUCAAAAAAUAAGGUAAAAUCUUCCUCGUACUUGAUCAUAAAUGAAUAUAGAAUGCUAUGAUUCUCAUGCAUCCUCUUUCGUUUUUUUGAAACCCUCUACAUUGUUUUGGUGAUUCUUGAUUUGAUGUUAAUGUGGUGCAAAAGGAUUUAGACUUUAUGAAAUGGUGCGACCAGUGCCGGUAGAAAUAGUCAACUUCCCAAUUUUUGAAAAAAAAUUGGUAUUGUAUGUUUUUGGCGAAUUUUUAAUCAAACUUGAUCGGAAACGGGCCAUGAACAAGACACAGCUGCUUUGCUCAUGAUGUAGGACCAAUUUUGGGCAAAUUUCUUUAUUUAGGCCUUCGUUAAUGCAUUUUUCCCCUUCUUUGGUAAAUUAUGUUUUGGUUAUGUGUCCAUUAAUUUACGUAGGAUUUGAAUUCCAUUUGUUGGAUGAUAAUAUUUAAGAUUAUAACUUUCAAAUUUUAGUCAUUAUCUCGAUUUUUUCCCAAAGAAAUCUUUUUUUUUUCCCGAAUUUUCCUAGGAUAUUCCUAUUUAAAGCUUUGUAAGCCCUUUUGGCCAUAUUUAUUGAUGGAAAUAAAUUAUUUUCGUGAGUUUUUUUCAUCUUGUGAGAUUCGUUCAUCUGGUCUAUGACCUUCUGCUACGCCACCUUCCACAGUGACACAUAUCUCAACAUCCUUUUCACGUUGAUACCAUCAUUUUUGUUUAAACAAUAUUUGCACUCCACUUUCCAAUUUCUCCAUUGUCUUUCCCAAAAGUUCUUUUCAAUACUUCUACAUCCUCAAUAUAUAGGGAUGUCAACGAUUCGAGUUGAUUCGCGAGCCGAAAUUCUAGGCUAGGGCUCGGCUCGAGUAAAUUGUCCAAGCUUUUUUGGGGCUCGAGCCGGGUCGAGCCAAGCAAAAGCUCGGCAAAAAAACUAUGCUCGACCCGAACCGACCCGGCUCGAAUUUUUUGCAGGCAACCUACUGCCUUAAAUGGCAGCAACUAACAUUUUAGUUGCUACCUAUUUUUAGCAGCAAAACACUGCCUUUUAUUUAUUUUUGUUUUUUUAAAUAUAUGCUUGGUUCUCCCAAGCCGGCGAGCCACAGGGGUGGACUCGGGUUUUGCUCGGCACCUAAAAAUGGGGCUCGGCCCGAGCCUCAAGUUGGACAAGCUCGAGCUUUUUCUGAGCCAUGCCACGGGCUACCUGAGCCGAUGAGCCAGAUUGUCAUCCCUAUCAACGUAUAUCUCAAAUCUCUCUCUCUCUCUGCUCCCAUGAACAACCCACUUGCUUUCCUCUAACAAUAUCUAGUGGAGGGUGACGAAAUCGAGUGGAUCGGGUUUAAUAUUCACCCCAUUUAUCUCCAAAGGGCUUCCAUUAAGCUUAGGAAGAUAUUGCAGCUUUAAAAAACAAGGUAAAAUCUUCCUUGUACUUGAAACUAAUAAAUGAAUAGAGAAUGCUUUGAUUCUCAUGCGUUCUCUUUCGUUCUGUUGAAACCCUCUACAUAAUUUUAGCGAUUCUUGAUUUGAUGUUGAUGUGCUGCAAAAUGAAUUAGACUUUGUGGAAAGGUGUGACCAACACAGGCAAAAAUAGGGAACUUCCCAAUUUUUGGAAAAAUUCUAGGAUUGUACAUUUCUGGGGAAAUUUUAGGCAAAUUUGAUCAUAAACGAGCCAUGAACUCUUCACAGCAACUUUGUUCCUUAUGUAGGCCCAAUUUCGGACAAAUUCCUUCAUUUUGGCCUUCGUUUAUGCAUUUUUUCAUUUUUGGUAAAUUUCAUUUUUGCUAUAUCUCCAUCAAUUUAAGUCAGAUUUGAAUUUCGUUUAUUGGAGGAUAAUCCUUAAGAUUAGGAUUUUAAAUUUUAGUCAUUAUCUCGAUUUUUUCCAAAAAAUCUUUUUUUUUUCUUGAAUUUUCCUAGGGUCUUCCUAUAUAAAGUAUUGUAAGCCCUUUGUGGCCGCAUUGAUUGACAAAAAUAAAAUUAGUUCGUUAGUUUUUUUCAUAUUGUGAGAUUCGUUCAUCUUUCCUACAACAUUCCGCUACAUCAGAAGGAGAGGCAGCGGUUAUGAGAGAGAAAGUGGAAUGACGGUAGCUGUGGUGGUGGCGUGGCCUCGAAUUGUUGGCGAAGUGGAGAAAGUGCAAACCUUGCUGUUGUUGGUACGAUGACUGCAGCAAUGGUGAAGAGGAAAGAGAGAGAUAAGAUGAUGUUUUUUUAACCUUUGUUUGAGUAAAUUUUUUGGGAAAAUAAAUUUCGUAAUAAUAAAUUAUAAAAAUAUACGUUUAAAAUCGAAAAAGGACUCUUAAUGCAUUAUUUGAUUGAAACUUCUACAAGGAGAAAGAAUAGAAUAAAUAUGAUAAUUUUACAUUAAAAAAAAAACUGUAAUAAAUUUUGAGUUCUAUUUAUUUUCCAAUUUAAUUCUUUUGAUUACAUAGCCUGAUUCAAUGUGUCUUAUUAAUAGGUUGUGUUAUUAUGAUUAUUAAAAUUUCAAUGAAAUAUCAAUAUACUUUGUCGGAGUGGAUCUACCCACUAAACUUAAGCCCAUGUUGCACAAAUCCAUGAACACACAAUACACACAUUAUCAACUCCAUCAGCACCUGAAAUUCACUUUAUACCCAUUAACAAGCACAUCUACACACAUAUAUCUUUUAUCAUAUGAUCGAUAGGGACCUUUCGAGCACAUUUAAGGCAUCCCAUUUGCACAGUACUAAUCCUACAGUCACUUUUGACCUAUAAAACAAACACGUCUGCACAUGUAACGAAAUGCAGAACACUAUGCAAUUUCCAGAACUAAAUUGAGGAUGCAAGUUUCAAUUCCUUUCGUUCGUUUUGAUUAUUUCUGCUAAAUCCCGAAUCGAGAUGACAUGAUUCUUUUUGCCUUACACACAUGGACACGUUCGGUUAAAUUCUAUGUGGUAUUAUGUAAUUGACAUCUAUGAUAUCAUUUCAAAUAAAUGAUAGAUGUUAUUUACAUGAAGAAAAUCAAUUUUGAUUUUAAGAGAAUCUAUUUGAUAUUCUUAACUUGAUUGCAAUCAAGAACUCAAGGGCUACAUGUUGAGCAAUGAAGUCAAACUGAACCCAAUUUCUAAUCACAAUGGUGUGCUCCGGUUAAAAAAAAAAAAAAAAAAAAAAAAAAAAAAGUCGAAAAUUACUAUCAUUUGUCCUUUCAUUCGAUUUAUGUCUAAAAAAAGUGACAAAUUCUGCCAUAGCUAAAUUUAUUGACAAGUCAUCUUAUUUCAUAUUCUAAAGGCAAGAGAUGCUGCUCGCAACAAUCACAAAUGUCUCUGUUUUGGGCUCCAUUUUUUCAAAAUACAAUUUUCGGAACUCAUUUUUGAUCAUACAUUUUUUCAUAAAAUAAUAUUACCCGUAAACUCAAAACUUUUCAUUCAUUUUUAGUCAUACAUUCUUUAAAAAAUUACUAUUCCAAGAUACAUCCUUUUUCAUUACCCCAAUUUAAUGGAGAUGGACUAUAUUUUAAAGUUUUUUGGAAUAAUUAUUAAUGCUGUUUUCCAAGUAAGAUUGAUCUAGCAUCUCAUUGAGCCAACAUUGGUUUCCACAUAGGCUAAACUCUGAAAAAUUCUAACGAUUGAGAUAGCAUACAUUAUUAAUUCAAUUAAUUACUAGAACUAUUCAAAUUAUAUGUCCAUGGCUUGUCUUUUUGGUCCAAAUUCAUGUGGCCCACAACUUACCAAUUUUCCUCUCUCUCUCUCUCUCUCCAUCAUUAAUUCUUGUUGUGUUUUAAAAGAAAUGUCUGCAUUAAUUAAUUUAGUUUUGAAACACCAGUAAAUUUAGUCAAGCUUUGUGCUUGAUUAGUUUGACACUGUUGUCUUUUGUUUCUCUUAUUUCACAAUUCCAGUAAGAAAAACAAAAUGACUUGAAAAAAAAAAAAAUGACAUCUGAGUUUUUGGUGUCUGUUUAGUCUCAUUUAUGUGUCCUUUCAUUUAAAAAUAUAAGUGUAACCUACAAACAGAAUUAUAUUUCAAUUAGUUUGGUACUUUUCUUAAUCCUUCCAUAAUAUCGACAAAAAUAUUUAUAUUUAAAAUAAAGUCCUCAUUGCCAUUAUAAGCUCAGCUGGCUAAAGCUACUAAGAAUGAUAGUUACAUUUAAUCGACCUAUCAUAUAAACUUGACAAUCACAAAACUCAUAGACAUUUUCUAUUCCCUUCUCUGAUAUAUAUGGGGCAAUUUAAAGUUCAACCCAAUGACCCAUUUUUUUUUAUUUUAUCACAAAUAACAAUGCAUAAUAUUUGACUUGGACACAAACAAGUGCACAACAUGUGACGAAUCACUCCCUAGUCAUAUCUAUGGUAUUACUUUCCCAGACAAAACUAAUUGCAUAAGAUUUUGCUAAUAUUUCCAUCUCGAAACUUGUUGUGCCUCAAGAACCUGUUUCUAUAAUUAUUUAAUUUUAAAGUCGGAUAUUUGAGUAGAAAACAUGUUUUAAAAUUAAACCAUUUUUUGUGUUCUAAUUUUAAAUAAAAAAUAAGGAGAGAUGGGCUACAAGAAAUUAUUAGGGACAGAAUUGAAUGAAAAGUUCAAAAUACUAUUGGGACUUGAACUUAGUGGGAAAAUGUUGAUUUCAUCACCAAAUGUUGGAAAAGGUAAAAGUGAAAAGUUUGGCACUUUUACCCCUACUGACCAACCAACUUUGUGGACAUCUUAUGGAAAGUGCAUAAAGUGAACAUAUUUUUGGUACCUAACAAACGCAUAUCAAAAUGGGACCUGAAAAACGAGUUACCGGGAUUUUUUGAGCCUUUCUAAUAAUAAGUUUUCAAGAAGCCAUAUCCUGGAUGGUUGUUUGAUCGUUGUGGCUAUCCAUUUUGAUGUGAUUCCUAAUAGUUAUAAUGCUCGUAAUGAGCUCUUAAAUUAUAUAUAAAGGGUGACGUAUAAUAGCCAUACAUAUUUCACGAAUACUUAAGCGAAAAUAGGAACCCAAAACUAAUAAAUCUACAAACUUUAGGAAUUUUAAAUUCCCUUAGUGGGAAAAAAGACUUAGGGUUGUGAACAUGCCUACUCCUUGUUUUAUUAUCUGGUCCCUAGUUGAGCUCUUGUUAUUUUACUCAAGCGUAAAAUAAACUUUAAUAACUAGAUCUAUACAAAUGUAUACGCAUGCAUAUGUAGGAAUGUGUAGAUAUGUGAUAUUAUAAAUUUAAAGUGUCUAAAGUGAUAAACAAAUAUGUACGUAAAAGUAUAUGUAUGUUUAUAAGAAUUGCUUGAGUCUACAUGUGACAACAAUGAUUUUUCGUGCAAGUGUUAAGAGUUGUUGGACAAACUUUUCAAUGAUAAAUAAAACAAGAGCAUUACAUUCAAAAUUGAUAAAUUAAAUAACCGUAUAAUAUAUUUGAGAUUGACUUGUUAAUUAUUGUUGUUAUGAUCUCCUCUCCUACAAUUAAUUUUUUAAACCAAACUCUAGCUCUUUCUAAAUGGGGAUAGUUUGGAAUGAAACCCUAAGAGUGGCUUCUCCUUAGGCUACUUUGAUUGGGAAGACUUUUAAUGGGAAUGAACUAUUCAAUAAUUAGAUAUUAUUUUUUGAAUUUAAGAUCACUCUUGCCUUGUGUGUUGGAUUUUUGAUACCCAAUAAAUCCCGGGCUAUAAUGUUAACGUGGGUUAAUAUUAUUUCAUAGACAUAGGCUGAUGAAUGAAAUAAGUCCAACAACCAAGUCCAUGAGCUAUACCCGGUCCAAUUGUAUUCCUUAUGGAUGGCUUGAAUCUUAGCCCGUUUACCUCUUUAAUGGCCCAACUUAAAGCCUAACCCUAGAGUAUAUAUAUGGAUAUAACCCUAGCCUCUUUCUAAUGAUGAUUGUGUGAUUUUGUGAGAAAAAGGAGAAUCCCGGAUGCCCUCUUGGUAAGUGAAAAAUAGCCCCUAGAAGUGUCCAAAACACCUGUUUACUUUAUGUAAUUGUUGGUUCCUUCAUAGUAUACCUUUGUGGUAUCUUCUCCUAGCCUUUGUGAUCACAAAUCAUCAUCCUUUCUUGUCCUACGUGGGUAAGAUUGAAUAGCAACCGAGGCGAAUUAUAUUGGUUGUGGUUUGGAGUUGGUUGGAUUGGUUGUUGGUAGAGAAAGAUACGUUGGACUGAGCUUGAAAAACUACCGUUUGAAGAUCCUUUUGCGAGAGCUUUCGCAACAAUUGGUAUUAGAGCUUCAAGGUGAAGGUUUUGGCUCGUGAAAUCUACUAGAAAUCGUCCAGAAAAUCGGCAGAAACAUAGCAGAAAUCAAAUCGAAAAACUGUCCAGAAAACAGUAAAAAAUUAGCCAUGUUUUGGUGUUUUCUGACCAAUCCAGAAGGAGUUUGGGAAAACAGAGACUACUGGUGUAACGUGCAGGUGGUGGCGAUCAAGGCAGACAGGCGCGUGUAUAAGAUGACGGCGCGUAGUGGAGGCGCAUGCGGACACGCGUAGAGAGGAAGAGUAGCGCGUGAGGGCGCGUGGGAGGGAAUUUCGAGAGGGUCCCUUAGGCAAUUUGUUCCUCAUAUUAUUUUCGACAUUUUUCGUGUUGGAAGUUUUCUGUUUCAGGGUACGCAGCAGAAUAUGGACAGCGUUGUUCUUCCGGCGUUCGAGACUUGAUCGUGUUUUUUUCUUUUGUUGCUAUAGUUUCCAGAGACUUUAGGAUGAAUAGUAGUAAUCCUAAAGUGGUGAAUUCUCAUGUCUCAAUAUUUACGGACCUUCAGACGUGGUCCGCUCGGUAUCGUGUUCUUUGCUUUUUAUUAUUGCAGUUAAAAUUAAUGUAUAGGUUAAUUAUUUAUUUUUCGCAUUAGAAGUCACCGUAUGGGGUGACGUUAGGUUUGGGGUAACCAUUUCUUGUUGCUAGACCUAGAAAUUACAUGUUAAUUAUCUUAAAUUCUAUGUGCAUUUGUCACUAAUAUUUCUACACCGAUAGAAUUGCAUGUGACCUAAGGAAAAUUUACUUGACUAUUCCGUGUGAAUUAUGUGUCAAUACUUUGCUUGUGGUCAUUACUUGGUAUUGUUGGCAUGUAUAGGUCUAAGACAAAUAUGAAAAAUAAAAUAUGUUUUAACUAUGGUAAAAUUUAGACAUAGUUGAAAGAGAUGUCCUAGGAUGAUAAUAAAAUGAAAGAUGAGGAUAGAGACAAAGCGAAUGUGACUUUAGGGUCGAAUAGUGAUCCUAGUGAUGUUUAUUGAGAGAAUAAACAUGGUUACUGCAUUGCAUCUGUGUAUAAUCCUUUCUGCAUGUAUGUGGUCACUUAAUUCUGUUGCAAUGUUGAUUUUACACUUUCAAUAUAUUUUAUGUGUGUAAUUGCAUGAAUUAGAGUGACUUAUUACUUUGUGUAAUAUGUUUACAUGUAUAGUGGGUUAAAUUUUGUGACGUACUCUAUUUGCUCUGUGAGUGGUGUAAGAGUGUGGUAGUGAGAAGAAAGUUGGGCAGCCGUUUCUCUCCUUCAUCUUUGUGAGCCUGUAAGGUUUGUGAGAUUAUGUGAGGCAGCCAUGUUAAGGUUACCUUCUUUAUCUUUGUGAGCCUUUUUUGUGAGUGCUGUGAAGUAAUCGACUCUUUCUUCAAUUUUUCUUUGUGAGUGCCAACUUCACCGUUUUCUUUGUUGUGGUCACAGAAAGGUGUUAAUUUGCCAUAGUGAGUUCGAGAUGCAUUAACAGUGUGUCGUGUGUCUUUUGGUAAGGUGGAGUAUAUAUUCCUAGGGGUACAUGGUGGUUUAUACCGGGGAUGUGGAGUGUGACAUUUGGAUCACGAGUGGAGAUGUGAUCAAAUGUCUAGAAUCCUUUAUUUGGAAAGAGACUCUGAUCAGGUAGAGUGUGAGGGAGGCACUUCUAUCACUUCUGUUAGGUGGAGACCCAUUAUCCACGUAGGUUGGGAGAAGUGAUGUGGAGAUAGAGGAUUAUCCCGUGGACUUAGGAUCUAUUGUGACUUGCUAGUUAGACAUGAGUUGAGUGAUCUGUCUAGUGAGCUUGGUGGGUGAUGAGAUGAGAUAUGUGAUCUCAAGGUGUGAGCAACACGGAAUGGGAUAUGAUAAGUGUGGUGAGCUCUUUUUUGGGGUCAUUUAUGCAUGUGUUGCAUAUGUGGUUGACCGUGGUUUGAUUGACUUGGUAUUAAUCUAUGGUCUAUGUGAACGUGUUUCUAAAAAGAUCUGUGUGUGUUAUCCUAUAGUAUAUCAUCAUCGCAUGUGUAUUUGCACUUGAUUGUUUACUGUUAAAUAUUUGCUUCUACUUGGAUGUUUUUGACCUUAGCCCCAGUGAGUACAUGGAGCAAGUAUGGUAUGUGUUUCAAGUUGGAAACACGAGGUAAGGUCUGUGAUCCAAUUUUAUUGGCCACCUUGAUUAUGCAAGUGCUAACUGUGUGUUUUGAUUGCUUGCAGAUUUAUUAUGCAUCAAGGUGGAGAUUUGUUGGGUUUUUGAUACCCAAUAAAUUUCGGGCUAUGAUGUUAACGUGGGUUAAUAUUAUUUCAUAGGCAUAGGCUGAUGAAUGAAAUAAGUCAAAUAACCAAGUCCAUGAGCUAUACCCAGUCCAAUUGUAUUCCUUAUGGAUGACUUGAAUCUUGGCCCGUUUACCUCUUUAAUGGCCCAACUUAAAGCCUAACCCUAGAGUAUAUAUAUGGAUAUAACCCUAGCCUCUUUCUUGUGAUGUUUUAUGAGACUUUGUGUGAGAAAAAGGAGAAUCCCGACUGCCGUCUUGGUGAGUGAAAAAACAGCCCCUAGAAGUGUCCAAAACACCUGUUUACUUUGUAUAAUUGGUGGUUCCUUCAUAGUAUACCUUUGUGGUGUCUUCUCCUAGUCUUUGUGGCCACAAAUCGUCAUCCUUUCUUGUCCUAUGUGGGUAAGAUUGAAUAGCAACCGAGGUGAAUUAUAUUGGUUGUGGUUUGGAGCUGGUUGGAUUGGUUGUUGGUAAAGAAAGGCACGUUGGACUGAGCCUUGAAAACCACCGUUUGAAGAUCCUUUUAAGAAAGCUUCCACAAUAUUGUGCACAUUGCACCAUCACCUACUGAUGUAUGAAAAGAUUAUGGCUUGAUGUACUCAUAUUUUGUGAAUAAAUAUAUUUUUGAUGUUUAGCUUAAUCUUUUUAUCUUUGAAAAUGGAUCAACGAAUCUAAAGGAAAUGUCACAUAAAUAAAUAAUAACUUAACUAAAGUCUUAACUAAACAAUUUGUUGGUUUGAAAAUAUAUGCAAUGUUUAAAAUGGAAAAGGACUUCUAAUGCAUUUUUGAUUGAAACUCCUACAAGUAGAAAUAAUAAAUAUGACAAUUUUUAUAUGAAAAAAGAAAAUGCAAUAAAUUUUGAUAACUAUUUAUGCUUCCUUUAAUUACGGCUUUCACAUGGCCUGCUUCUAAAUAUCUUAAUAAAAUUUUGAAAUAUUAAUGAAAAUCAAUAUUUUGAGAAUUAGAGUGUAUAUAUAUAUAUAUACACGGUUAGAAUAUGCUAAUGCAUAAGCUGCAAAUGGGAAAACGAAUCAUGUGCCUCAAAGGUAUUGUAUGUUUUAUUGGAUUUUGUGUAGGGUGAAAUUGCAAGAUAAGAAGGAAGUCUUGGAAAUAUAUAUAUGAUAAAUUUUUUAAGCAUAAAUGUCUCAAGUGUUCAAUUAUUUAUUGUCAUCUAUCAAAUAAAGAAAAAAAGAAAAAGAAAAAAGAGGAAAUCCUAGAAAUAUAAGUGUGACAAAUUCGCUACUCCCUUCUUUGAAAUAUAUGAAUUUUCGAACUCAAAUAACAUGGCGCAUUCGACUUGGACAAUAAUAGGUGCACCACAUCUGAUGAUUCGCUAUCCAGUCAUAUCUGGGCCAGCCUUUCCCAGGCAAAACUAAUAACAUAUAAUAUUCCUAAUAUUUUGAUCUCGAGUUGUUAUAUCUCGGAAACGGAAACUUUUGUUUCCAUUUUUAUUUAAUUUUAAAAUUGAAUAUUUGAGUAGGCAACGUGUUUUAAAAUUAACCAUCUUAUGUCUUGAAAGUCGGGUUAUUUGUGAUUUUUCGAUUAAAAAAUAAGAAGAGAUUGGGCUCAAAGAAAUGAUUAGGGACUGAAUUGAGUGAAAGUGAAAAGUUCUAAACGUUGUCGGGACUUGUUGGAAAAAGUUAAUAUUUUGAAGAUAAAAGUUAGGCAUUUUUACCCAAUUUCGUGGACGUCCCAUGAAAAUUGCAGAACGAGACCUCCAUUCUGGUACCCAAUUUUUAUGUUUGUUUUUAAAUUUUAAUUUUUUUUUUCAUUAUUACAUUAUUUCUUAUUCAUUUAUUUUAAUGCCUCAAGGCGGUACAUUUAGAAAUUGAUUUGUUGAUUGUUAAUAAAUUUAAAAUGGAGCACAAUAGCACAUUAACAUUCUUAAAUUAAGAAACAUACGUUUUUAUUUACUGGAAUAAUAAAGUGAAUUUAUCUGUUUCGUUUGAUUAAAUAAGUAAGUUAUUUAUUUAAAUUUCAAAUUAAUGAAACAAUUGCUUAAAAUCUAUUCAGACAUCAAGUCAUGUAGCAUGUAGAUUUUUAAUUUUUAGUUUAAAAAAAAAAAGAAAAAGAAAUUUGGAGUUUAGAGGAGCCCCAUUCAAAUAUAACAUUAUGAUACAUGUUCAAGUUUUUCGAUUUUAAUAAAAGAACUAUAAAUAUAAAAUAAUAAUAAUAAUAAUAAUAAUAAUAAUAAUAAUAAUAAUAAUAAAAUUAUACCGUUUAAAAUUAAACUUUGGCUUGCUUAAUAAGGUUCUCCAAAAUGUAAGUAGACCAUGUUUGGCUAAGCUUAAAGAAAUAGAAGUUAUAUUUUUCUAAACAUAUGGUUAAAACACGUUAAUUUGAGUCUGUUCACCUAAGACAAGUAGCAUUCAACAUGUAUUGGGCUGAUGGAAAUAUGCAUCCAUAGCAAUGAAAUGCUAUUGAGACAAGUAUGUUCAGAGACGUAGUCAGGACUUGAUGACAAAAAAUUAACCUACGUUAAUAUGUAAAAAAUAUCAAAUGAGAAACCUAGAUAGUCUCCAUUUAUUGACACGUUAAAAGUGUAGCCCAACUCGAAUAGCCCAAAGAAGAAAGCCCAACUGGACAAUUCAGGAUAAAGGCUCAAAUAGGGUUAUUAAUGAAUGCAGUGGAAGCCCACGAACGCAGUAAUACCAUCGCCCAAACUUGCAAGACGCCCAAGACCUGAGCGAAUGAAGUACCUUGCAGUCGCCCAGAGUUAUAACCCUGUUCUCGCCCAAACUUUCGAAUCGCCCAAGAUCUUAACAAACAUAAGAUAUUAUGGUUAUCCAAAAGUGCAGUUAUCGAAACAGUUAUUGGGUAAUCUCAUCACGUUCCACGAUUCAGGAAGUUCAAUUGAAGACGGUUGAACGACAAAGAGUAGUGGCAGCAUUUAGAGACGACAGUUCCACGAAUAGUUGGCCACCAUGAAAAAAGUGGGUAGUUAUAAAGCAAUUAAGCAGUUUCUAAGCGGUUAAUCACAAAGAGAGCAUCAAGGGAAUAUAAUAGGAAGAAAAGACAUAGAGCAAAAGACUCCGAAUCAAACACUUUCAAACAAAGAAUAUGUAAUUUCAAUUUCUUAGUUUAGAUUUAAAACAUUUCUUUUCAGUACUCGUGUGCUUGCGCCCCUUAGAGGCAUUUCUGUUUAAGUUCCAAUUGUAAAGUCAUUGCCAAUAAAACAUCACUUUUUGGGACUUUAUCUCAAGAGGUUUGUCCCAUACACAAUCACCUGAUCCCUUUUUAAUUGUUAGUGACUACCCGCGCGAAACAAUUUGGCACGCCCAGUGGGAUAUUGGUGUUUGGUGCUGAAGAUACAAAAGGUGAAACAAUAUGCCUCAGAAAUCCGAUAAGGAAACAGCAAGCCAGGGAGGAGUCCAGUCUGUAAUCGAGCGAUAUGAGGAGCAGCAUAGCUCUCCACGAAUAGAUGGACAGGAUCAGAGCAAUCACAGUUGUUACGAACCAAUGACAGAGUUGAGUCCUCGAACCAUGCGUGCAUUACUCGAAAAACUCACACAAGAUGUCGUUGAACAGGUAAAUCUAUGAAAUAUUCAUAAUAUGGAAAGAUUUACCUAGAAUGGGAAUGCACAUUAUGACAACAUGGCCAAACAACUGAAUACUUUGAACGAAAUAAUGAAUAAGUUAGUAGGUCAAAUUUGUCAGCCAGUUGUGCCUCUUACAAACUACUUUCAAAUUAGGACAAUUGUGGGACAUAAUCCCCCAGUCCUAAGUUUAAAUCAAGGGGUAGAACCACAUUUUGAUCCCUCUACUUCAAACAGGGGAGUGGUGUAAUUCCAAAUCAGAAUAAUGGCACUGGUACAUCUAACUUGGGGGGUAACCUAAAUGUAAGAGAUAAUGUCAUAAAUAAUGGGCAGAAUAUCCCACGUGUUAGUAAUGGAAUAAAUGUUCAGGCUAAUGGUAACAAUGGCCCAAAGCAUGGUAACUUUGUUGCCAAUCAAGGACCAAACAUCAGGCCUCAAGCAAAUCAACCGGUCAACCAACCUGUAGGGAUUCCAUAUGACCCCAACGUCAUGUUGAGGAAUCAGAUUAUGGAAAUCGUACAGGACCAAAUGGCUUUUGGGGUACGUUCUGUCAUUAGGCCGACUUACACAAAGCCAUAUCCUGAUUGGGUAGACCAAGCAUAUCCAUGGCCUAGAGGGUAUAAAGUGCCAGAAUUCUCACUGUUUACCGGUUUAGGAGAGGUGUCUACUCUAGAACACAUAGGGCGAUUCACACUGCAAAGUGGUGACGUAACUUGAUUACCAUAAAAUGAGGUUGUUCCCUAGUUCAUUAACAGGAGUAGCCUUCUCCUCGUUCAUCAAUUUGCCAGCAAACUCUGUUCAAACAUGGCAACAAUUGGAGUAAUUGUUCCACGCUCAGUUUUAUAAGAUUGAGGUUGAAGUUACUUUGGCCAAUUUGGCGAAUCUACGUCAACUGCCAAACGAAUGGGCAGAAGGUUUCCUUCAAAAGUCCAAAACAGCAAAAAGUAAAUGUUUUGUACCUUUGCCCGAAAAGGAGUUUGUCAAAAUCGCUCAAGGUUGUCUAAGCUUUGAUCUGAAGAAGAAGUUCCAAGACAAGGAAUUUCCUGAUCUUUUCCAAUUGAGCGUGAACGUGAUUAGGUAUGAACGAUUAAUAAGAGAGGAAGAACAAAUGAAAAAUUCUAGCAAAGGGACUUAUUAUAGAGACCCAAAUUUUGAUGCUCAUACCAUUAACGACGAGUAUUACAAUCAAAUCGGAAUGUGUUUGGCCGAAUUAGUUAAAGGAGGCACAUAUACUAGUCCUAUAAUGGCUAAGCCUAAACCGUCAGGCAAGGAUGAGCCUAUAAAAGAUGAAAACAUAAAGGCUAGAACGUUCUUAUUCGAUGUAGCCAAAACUGACCUUAUAUUUGAUAAAUUAUAUAAGGAUAAGUAGAUAAAUCUGAGCGAUAAGCAUAAAUUGCCAAGCCCUGAACAAAUUAAGGGUAAAAAAUAUUGUAAGUGGCAUAAUGCGUGGUCACAUUUGACUAACAACUAUUUGGUUUUUCGCCAUGUGCUACAGGAUACUAUUGAAAAAGGACGAAUUACGUUCGAGGAUAAGAAGAAGAUGGCAGUGGAUGAAAAUCCUUUUCCACAGCCACUUGGAGUGAACAUGGUGACGUCUGGUUUCAGAAGCAAGUUGCCAAAAUUCAAGUUGGUUAUAGAUGAUGGAGAAGAAGAAGCUGAACCACAUCCCAGCGUCUUUGAACGUAUCAAAGGGAAGGAGCCCAAAAAGGACAAAGACGUCCUAUGUGCAAGAUGCAAAAAAGAAGCGAGUGCAAAUGCAGAAAAACCAGGGAUAUGGCAGCAUCACCAUCGCCCUAGUUUUUUCCCAAAUGCUCAACCUAGUAGAGGGCAAGGUACAUCAUUUUAUAAGGGACCGCCUUUUGAAAGGCAGUUCAGGCCAGUAAAUAAUGGGAGAACAUUCAGACCGCAACCUCGCCAACCAAAUGUAUGACAUUCGUUCCAGUAUGAGGCUGGAAAGGCGAUACCUUUCAACAAGAUUACUAGAACCCAACAAAGGCAUUUUCAACAGAACUAUGGGUGAAUGAUGAGGCGACAACAGGGAAUGCUGCGUCCUAAGGCACCUAGAUUACUCGAGGCAGCCAAUCAGAAUGUUCUCAAAGACAGUGAAGAGACUGAUACAGGCGAACCUAUGGAAGAAUUGCCACAGGCUUCUUCUGGGAGGUCGAAGUUUGAGUGAGAGAGGGGAUGGAGAAGAUCCAGAUCAACCCCUUACUACCCAAUUUGGUACGUUACCUCCUGUCGUGGCUAAUAACUAUUUACUAGCCAAUGAGUUCAAGAAUAAAGAGAAAGGGGAAGAAGAAAAGGAGGAUAAUGAAGAGGAAGCAUGCAUGCUGGAAUAUGAAGAAGACCAAACUUCUAGGGAGGCCUACAAUAGUAAAGAAGAUAAUGGUAUGACAGACAUCGAAGAGGAAAUCGAUCUGGAAGCGGAAAGAAGAAGAAGAGGAGUAUCGUACAAUACUCUGUUGAAGCAAUUACAUCGAGAGGGAGUUCGUGAAGUAGACUUAUUGGGAGAACCAUCUGGGCGUUCUUUCGAUUUUUACGUGCUGUACGGGAUGCCCAAAAGGAAGAAGAGAGUGCCUCGCUCUAAAAAGUAUGGAUCACCUCCAAGAAUAAUGCCUCAUCCUAUGGGUUGGGUAACUGAAGAAGAAGCAUUAGAAAACAGUGAAAAGGAAAUUCAGGAGACAGAGGCUCAGAGCGAUAUGUUGCACGUUGACUUAUCACAAAGGGGUAACUCGACGGAGGACAAGCAGAAAGUGGAAAUAGAUGCUGCCGAGGCCAUUGUAUGUUAAACUCUAGUUAACGGCAUACCUGUGGCAAAAGUGUUUUUCGAUAAUGGAGUAGCUAUAAACACUAUCCGAUCUAGGAUGAUGAGAAAAUUUGGAACGACAGAAGGUGAUACGAUCCCAACGGAAGUCAUCCUUACAAGUUUCAAUGUAGGAGCAACUUCUGCUAAAGGGAUUAUGGCAUUGGACAUAACUAUAGGAACAACUACUAGGACCACAGUCUUCUUUGUAAUAGAUGGUCCCACUAGUUACAAUGUGUUAUUAGGAAGAGAUUGGAUACACGGAAGUCGUUGUAUACCUUCAUCGCUCCAUCAGUGCCUAGUUUUUUGGAAUGACAAAGGCGAAACAGAGGUGGUGCAGGCCGAUCAUAGGCCUUUUGUCACAGAAGAAAACUCAGUAGAAAGGUUCAUGUACGAAGGAAAUUAUGGACCUAUCAGAAUAGUCCAAGAUGGAGAAGAAACUCAGAUUGUCGCGCAGAGUGAAGAGCCAUUUUCGAUGGAUGCACUCACAGAAAUGUUCAGUCAGAUGAGGCCAAACAUAGUGGCCCUGGAGGAGCCAGUAAUUGGCAAAAGAAUGACAAAUGAGUUUUAAAAGAGUUGUAAACAACAAAGACAAAUGGCCGAUAUUCAGACCUUCAAAGCCAAAUUAAUGGCUUUCAAUAAAGAAUGCAAGGACAAGACGAAAGGAGCAGCAGCCUUGAAAGCAUUGAGAGACAAAUUGGCAGUGUUCGAGUUGGAACAAAGUAUUGGCCGAGAAGUCAACAAGGUGGAUUGUUUAGAAGAAAAAGUGCCUACAAGGGAACUGGACGACGAAGUGAUAAAGAUUGCCAAGCCUAGAUACGCUCAAGCACAAGACCCCCUGCUUAAAGUGAAUAUUGGCAAUGAAGGAGAAGAUUGCCUAACGUUUAUAAGCCAAAUGCUCAAUUAAGAGGUUAGUGAUAAAUUAUCGCUUUAUUAAAGGAGUACAAAGAUUGUUUUAGUUGGGAAUAUGAACAUAUGCCUAGUUUAGAUAGAGAUUUGGUGGAACAACCAAGCCUAAUUUUAAACCCCAUAGGCAACCUCUUAGGCGUUUCGCUCCUAAUAUACUCCCUGAAAUUAAGAAAGAGAUAGAGCGAUUAUUAAAAGCAGGCUUUAUUAGAACGGCCAGAUAUGUUGAAUGGUUGUCCAAUAUCGUGUCGGUAUUAAAAAAGAAUGAUAAACUAAGGGUGUGCAUAGACUUUAGGAAUUUAAACAUAGCCAUACCUAAAGAUGAAUAUCCAAUGCCCACGGUAGAUUCUUUAGUAGACUCGACUGCCGGACAUGUGAUGUAUUCCUUCAUGGAUGGGUAUUCAGGAUACAAUCAAAUUUACAUAGCUGAAGAAGAUAUACACAAAACUGGCUUUAGAUGCCCUGGGUCUCUAGGAUGUUUUGAAUGGGUAGUUAUGCCUUUCGACCUGAAAAAUGCAGGAGCAACUUAUCAAAGGGCAAUGAAUUUGAUUUUUCAUGAUAUGAUAGGCAAGUUUAUUGAAGUGUAUGUAGAUGAUAGAGGACUAUUUUGAACAAUUAAGAUGUUCAUUUGAGUGAAUGAAGCAAUAUAAACUAAAGUUGAAUCCCUUGAAAUAUGCAUUUGAUGUUAAUGCAGGGAAUUUUCUUGGUUUUUUAGUACACAAAAGGGGGAUUGAACUUGAUAAAAAUAAAGCGAAGGCUAUUUUAGAGGCCAAACCACCUAACAACAAAAAAAAAAUUGCAAAGGUUUCUAGGUCAAGUAAACUUUUUAAGACGCUUUAUUUCUAACUGUGCAGGGCGAACUAAAGCUUUUUCGUCACUUUUAAAGUUGAAAAAUCAGGACAAAUUCGUUUGGAAAGAAGAGCAUCAAAAGGCUUUUGAAAGCCUAAAGACAUAUUUAUCAAGUCCACCAGUGUUGGUGUCACCAAUCCAAGGACGGCCAAUGAAAGUGUAUGUAUCGAUUGAAGAAGAAUCAAUAGCUGGAAUGGUCGUGUAGGAAGACCAAUUUGGUGAAGAAAUAACGAUUUACUAUUUGAGUAGACAGUUAACAAAAUGUGAAUGUAAUUAUUCUGCCAUUGAAAAAUUAUGUCUUGCAUUGUAUUUCACAUGUAUAAAACUAAGGGCUUAUUUACGGCCCGUAACAGUUUAUUUAAUUUCUAAAGUAAAUUUGGUUAAGUAUAUGUUCUCUCGCCCUAUUUUGCACCAAAGGGUAGACCUUUGGACAUUAGCCUUAUUAGAAUUUGAAGUAAAAUACAUACCCCAAAAGGCAGUUAAAAAUCAAGCUUUGGCUAAUUUUCUAACCGAUCAUCCAUGCCUUGAUAUGUUUGAAGAAAUUGAGUUAGAGAUCAAUUCAUUCGAAUUAAAACCUUGGAUUUUAUAUUUCAAUGGAUCGAAAACCUCUAAAGGUGUAGGAAUAGGGGUAGCAUUGAUAAAUCCUUUAGGGAUUUGUUACAAGUUCGCAUUCACUUUGGACAGAAUGCGUACCAACAAUCAGGCCGAAUAUGAAACCUUAAUCGUGGGCCUAGAAUUAAUGAUAGAUAAGGGGAUAAAGAAUGUGAUCGUUAGAGGCAAUUCUCAAUUGGUAAUUCACCAAUUGAUUGGUGAUUUUAAAUGCCAAAGUGAUUCCAUUAUAAGUCAAUAUGAAAUCGCCCAAGAGUUGUUGGAAGAAUUCGACCAAAUAGAGCUUUAAUAUGUUAAUAGGAUAUAUAAUGACGCAACAAACGAAUUGGCCCAGAUGGCCUCAGGGUACUCAACGGUUUUAAAUUGGAAGUCUAUUUGUGAGUAUGGAACAAUAUUGCCUGUGAUCCAAAGAAGGGCGAGAACGAUUGAAAUUCAUUGUAUACAAGAUGGAGAUGCAAUAGAUUGGAGGACAGAGAUUAAGGAGUUCCUUAAAAAACCUAAUAAAGGAGAUAGUAGAAAAAUGAAGUUGCGUUUGCUAAUCUAUGCAUUGAUAGAUGAAGAGUUGUUUAAGAAACGCUUUGAUGGUAUAUUGCUAAAAUGUGUAAGUUUGCAAGAAGUCAGGACGAUCAUGGCUGAAGUGCACGAAGGAAUAUGUGGAGCUCAUCAAGCUGGCCAAAGGAUGAGAUGGUUAAUUAUUAGGAAUGGAUAUUUUUGGCCAAAGAUGGGAGAAUCAUGCGUUCAGUAUGCAAAGAGUUGUCUAGCAUGCCAAAAGCAUGGUCCAAUACAAAGAGCGCCAGCACGAGAGAUGACACAUAUUAUCAAACCUUGGCCGUUUAAGGGUUGGGCGAUAGACCUAAUAGGGAAGAUUUAUCCCCCAUCAUCCAAGCAACAUACCUUUGUUAUAGUUGCAACUGAUUAUUUCACUAAGUGGGUAGAAGCGGUACCUUUAAAAGAGAUCACCCAAAAGAAUGUCAUAGAAUUUAUCCGUGAUCACAUCAUUUAUAGAUUUGGAAUUCCACAAACUUUGAUGGUAGAUCACGAAAAAUCUUUAAAUGGAGAUCAAGUGAAUAAAUUCUUGAGCGAGUUUGGAGUUAAAUUAGCGAACUCCACACCAUAUUACGCUCAAUCCAACAGGCAAGCAAAAUCUUCUAAUAAGAUUCUAAAAAAUAUCAUAAGAAAAAUGAUAUAUGAAAACGCCAGAAAUUGGCACGAAUGUCUAAACAAGGCCUUAUGGGCUUAUAGGACGUUGCCUUGGUCAAGUACAAAAAUUACUCCUUUCGAACUUUCUUAUGGACAAGAGGCCAUUUUGCCUAUGGAAAUCAACGUGCAAUCGAUUAGAGUGUGUUUGCAAAUAAGUUAAGUGUUGAUGAGUAUACCGAAUCACUAGUUCAAAACUUAUUGGAGUUGGACGAAUUAAAGUUGGACGUCCUAAAUAGAUUGCAAGUUCAAAAACGGAGAAUGGCUAAAUUUUAUAAUAAAAAAGUUAUAGCCAAGUCGUUCAGCCUGGGCGAAUUGGCUUGGAAAACAGUACUCCCUUUGGAUAGCAAAGAUCCAAAGUAUGGCAAGUGGUCGCCCAAUUGGGAAGGACCAUAUAAAGUAAAUAAUGUGUUGUCUAAUGGAGCCUAUCAUUCGGAAGAUUUAGACAGCACCAAGCACAUGAGGUUCAUUAAUGGAAAAUAUUUAAAAAAAUAUGUUCCUUCUUAUGGGAAAGUGAACAAAUAAAAGUAUAAUCAAAUCGCGUUGAACGAUCGUAGAGUAAAAAGGGCCAGAGCGAAAUACGUUCAAAUAAAUUCCUUUAUUAUCAAACGUUCAUUACAAAGUUGCAAAAUACAAAAUGCUAAAUGCUCUAUAAACUACAAUUAAGAGCAAACUAAUCUCCCGGUCGAUCGCCAGUAAGAGGGUGUACUGGCCUUGAUUGCCAUCCUGAUCGUACUGCUGUGAGUAGAGAGGUCGAGAAGCACUCUCAGCAAGCAGAAAGGAAGAAGAAGCAUCCUCACAUCGCCUUCCUAAAUGCAUUGCUGCAAUGACGGGUAAGGAGGCUGAGAAGCACUCUCAACAAGCAAGGUGGCUUGCAAGCGUCCUCAAAAAUUUUCUUCCAUCAUCGAACUCCUUGUAAGGAACAUGGAGAUGAUGGGAAGAACUUUGCUGGCCAAAGAAUAUUUUCUAUAUCUCCCAUACCAAAGGUGACAUCAAGAAAGAUGGUAAAAUGGGUGGAUCAAAUGAUCCAUUUCCAUGAAAGACGAAGGUUUUGGAUCGAUUGUCAAAAUGCCAAACAAUGGCAGCAAAUUGGUUUUGAAGAAGAGAAUGGAAAUGAAAAUGACAAGUGUGGAAUAUAAGUGCAUUUAUAGAGACGUGAAGGUGAAGAGACUGAAUAUGAACAGCCACAUUCGUGCCUAAUAACUAGAAUCAAAUGACCCAAAAUCUUGGGAAAAGAGACCGAAAUACCAAGAGAAAAUGUGCGUGAAUCUUAGCAUAAAGCAGUUAAAUGUUUGGGGGGUUGACGAAUAAAGACAAUGUCAAUAAAUACACAAGAAGAUAAAUUAAUCGUUCAUUAAUGAUAAUGGCUGCUGGUAUAUUCAGAAUUACCAAUGAACAUCAGUACGAGGUUACAAGGGGAAAGUUAAUGCGAAUUUACAAAAAAAAAAAAAAAAGAAGUUAAGGCAUUAGAUAUCUUAAUUACAAUUCACCCCAAAUUGAACAAAUUCUUUCCCUAAGUCUCCCCCAAUUCUCGCUCUGCUGAGAAGAAGUGACAUUCAAUUCAGCCACAAAAUCACCAUCAACCUCUGACUUCUUGUACUGCUCGACCAAAGACUUGGUUCGCUCAAUUCCUUGGGAGGCAUUGCAUUUUUUGGCAGCCAUUCUCGCCUUACAGUUGUCUAUCUUUGCUUGAAGCUCCUUCAUUUGUGCAGCCAAAUUGGUCAUCAAAGAGUCUUCAAUCAUGACUUCAGAAGAGAUUUCUUUCAAUUCGUUCUUAGCUUUGUUGAUCUCCAGAAGCAAAGAUUCUCUUUCAAAUACAGCGCGAAGAUAUUGAGUACUUUUGGCCUUCAGUUCAACAUUCUUGGCCAGCAAGGAGAGAAUCUCGGAAUGGACAACUUUCAACAUCGCUUUAAAAUCAACAGAAAGAUUAAGCGACGGAAGUGUCAGUGCUUGCUCCAACUUCGCACUCAAAUGCUCAAACUUAUCCUUAUGUUUAGCAGCACUAGCCUGACUGAUGUCCAUAUCCAUAAAGGACACGUACUCAAAUAUCGACUGCUUGAGGAACUUCAUAUCUUCCUCUAAAGAAGCAGAAGGACGACUGGUUGAAGCAGGGCGAGACGUCUUGACUUGCCCCCAGGAAAUGAACAAGUCCUGAAUGGAACGUACAAUCUUAUCAGCAUCCUGCAAAGAAAGUUACCAACAUUGAAGGUUUUCACUACAAUGAACAAAGUGGAAGUAAAAGUGAAGCAAAGAUUACCUCAUCAGCAAUCUUGGGAGGUGGCAUAUCCCCAGCCAAAUCUACCACCUGUGGCUCCACCACUUAUGAGGACUUUCCCUUGUCUGAGCGAGAAGACUUUGCCACAACGGGCAAACCCAUGGGAGCAUCUGCAAAACUCAAAAAGCAACAAAUCAAAAAUCAAUAGCAUAAGCAAAGGUAAAACAUCAAAAAAUAUAUUACCUUCUGGUUCAACGUUUGGGGGAUUGACGCCCUGAGAAGAAGGUGGCUCAUCCAUUGGUUGUGAUGAGGAUUUCGAAACUGAUGGUUUCUCUUUAAGCGUAGUUCCUUCAUCAGCUGGUUUGGAUGAAGCAGCCUCAGCAGAGGGUGAUGGAGCAGGAGCUGCCAACACCAAAGCCUUCAAAGGAGAAGCUGAGGUUUUCUGAGAAAUCUGAAUAAGCCAUCAGCACAUAGAAAAGUUCCAAGUAUAGAAAGGUAUGCUUGCGAGUAAACUAAUUUAAUUACCUUUCUCCUGAAAAUGAGAGGAGUGUCAUCAUCAUCAUCCUCCAAAAUGGGAGAUGCUGAGGCUGGCCAUUUACGGCUUGGGGCACUCUUAGCUGCAGUGGGCUUGGUAGGAAGAAAAGUAAAUGGACGAACAGACUGUUUAGCACGAGCAGAAGAGGAAGGACUCCUAAUGGACACAGGGGUGACCAAAACAGGAGAAGUGGAAGAAAUGUGUGGUUGAUCUAGUGAAUGGAAGCGCGAUUGGCAUCAGUUGCAAACAAUCUGCGCUGCACUGAUGGCCAGAGUUGUUCAAAAAGGGGAUGGAUGGCAUGGCAAGGAUUGAAGGGGGCUAAUGAAAAGUUACUCGUCAAAAGAAUAUUGCGAGCAUCAAUAGCUUCUGCCUCUGCCUUAUUAAUGGUGUGAAAACGAUCUAUCAAAUUUUUAGAAUAACAAGGGGGAACAGGUCAAGUUUGGCCAAAACCAAGUUGACGAGCAAAAAAUUGGGGAGCAUAUAUUUCAACCCCAGCUUUGGCACUGGUUCCAGUCAAAAUGUCAUGGAACAACUCCCUCUCGGUCAAAAACUGAACCCAAACGAGCAGAGAGGUGCUCGCUCUGUCCAGAGUGGAUGAAAGUUGCACAUAAUCUGGAAUUAAAAAGGGAGGAAAAGGAAAGAAAGAAAGAAUUGAAUUCAAAGUAUAAAAGAAUGAAAAAAUGUCCCUUCUGGACAUAUUUACAAGGCUCAGUGGGCCAAUAGCUAGCCCAUAACAGCUAGCAGAAGGAAGGGAAAAGGAUAGAGCACCAAGUGAUGGAAAAUAGGCUCUUAACCACAUUUGAGUGAACCAAAGAGGCUAAUUACCAGCGGGAGAUGCACCAUUCUUCAAUUGGAAUUGGAGAGAAGCCAUGCCUUUAUAGAGGGCAGCCAAAAAGAAAGAACACAAAUUCAGAGGUCUACCAUGCGUCAAUUCAUGCGCUAUAGGUAAAUAGCUCAUAGAAGGCUUCAUGCUUGGCGCACACAGAACAUAUUCACAAAGCCAAAUCUGAAUAAAGACCACGCGCUCAGCAUGGGAAGGUUCAGCGCUCGAGUGAUUAUAACAGCUUUGCAGGCUUGAAUAAGACUCGAUGAGUUUUCUGCCAAAUUUUGGGGCAACACCAGAAAUCAAAAUACCAGGGAAAAUAGUAUUGCCCAAAGGUGGCAAAUUUACUAAGGCCCCAACAUCCCUUAAAGUAAUGGACAUGGGAUCAAGAGGGAAAACAAAAAUAUUAUACUCAGAGGACCAAAAAUUUAAUGCAAUAGGGAAAAGCGCUGAAUCAAAAAUAGGGGGUUGAAGAGAGAUUUCUAACAAAUCAGAAAUUCUAGCACUAUCAAAAAUUGUCUUGGUAGGACCAUGUUCUAUAAGGCGAGCAUGCCAUCUACGGAAAACAAUAUCAGAUUUAGGCCAAUUGCGAAUACCUUUUUCACGAAGCGGCCUCAGCGUCAAAGAGUUUAGAAACAGAGGGCCUUGAGUACAAGGGAACAGCUGGCCCACCGCCACUUGUUCGACGGCCUCGGCAUUGUUGAAUGAAGGACCUAGAUAGAACUCAUUGAGUUCGGCAUUGGCUGGUGCGAGGAAGUUCGAAGUUAUAUAUGGCCGAGUGAGGAUCUUCUGGAAGUCUUCAAAAAUGAAAGAGUCGCCAGAUUGGGAUUGUGAAGCAGCCAUUAGGAAUGAAAUAAAUUUUUGUUGAGGUUUGCUUGAGAAACAUAGCAGAGAAGUAAGAAAAUGAACAGUAAUAUUGCGAGAGAGAAGCGCAUGACAAUGAGGCGUGAUUUAGUAGUGCGAUAAAAUGGCGUGUAUUUGGGGGUUAGGGUUUGCAACGUCGCACCUUUUCAGGUUAUGGAAGAAAAUAAUGAUUGAAAUUCUUGGGAAUUUCAAAUGUUGCUGGGAAACACAAAGUAAAUAUGGCAAAAAUUAAUAAUUGAUAUUAAUUCUGUCAUACUGGGGGUAAUUGUUGACACGUUACAAGUACAGCCCAACACGAAUAGCCUAAAGAAUGAAGCCCAACUGGGUAAUUUAGGAUAAAGGCCCAAAUAGGGUUAUUAAUGAAUACAGUGGAAGCCCACGAACGCAGUAAUACCAUCGCGCAAACUUGCAAGACGCCCAAGACCUGAGCGAAUGAAGUACCUUGCAGUCGCCCAGAGUUAUGACCCUGUUCUCGCCCAAACCUUCGAAUCGCCCAAAAUCUUAGCAAACAUAUGAUAUUAUGGUUAUCCAAAAGUGCAGUUAUCGAAGCAGUUAUUGGGUAAUCUCAUCACGUUCUACAAUUCAGGGAGUUCAAUUGAAGACGGUUGAACGACAAAGAGUAGUGGUAGCAUUAGAGACGACAGUUCCACGAAUAGUUGGCCACCAUGAAGAAAGUGGGCAGUUAUAAAGCAAUUAAGCAGUUUCUAAGCGGUUGAUCACAAAGAGAGCAUCAAGGGAAUAUAAAAGGAAGAAAAGACAUAGAGCAAAAGACCCCGGAUCAAACACUCUCAAACCAAGAAUAUGUAAUUUCAAUUUCUUAGUUUAGACUUAAAACAUUUCUUUUCAGUACUCGUAUACUUGUACCCCUUGGAGGCAUUUCUAUUUAAAUUCCAAUUGUAAAGUCAUUGCCAAUAAAACACUACUUUUUGGGACUUUGUCUUAAGAGGUUUGUCCCUUACACAAUCGUCUGAUCUCUUUUUAAUUGUUAGCGACUACCUGCGCGAAACACCAUUAAAAGCCCAAAUUCAAGAAAUUUGAAAAAUGAGAAAAAAAAAAUUUAAUAAAAUACUGACGAAGUCACCCCUUGAUUGAGUAGUUCGAUUGAAAUUCCUUUCUUUGGACUUUUGAGAGUUUAUGAUGUUUAAUUAGUAGCAGUAUUUCAGGCAUGACAAUGGUGUAGUGUGGUGCGGGUAGAAGUAGAUGAACGUUUUAUAUGUUAGUGUUUUUUUUUCUUUUUAAAAUUUUCUUUUUAUUAUUAUUGUUGUUAUUAUUAUUAUUGUUGUUAUUGUUUGACUUUUUGAGUGGAGGAAGUUAUUUGACAAUAUGUCUAUUGUAAUAAAAAUAAAAUAAUGGCAUAAAACUAACAGUCAUCGUAGAUGGAUUCUAUCUAAAGUGAUCAUUUAUGCCAAAAAUUUACAUCACUUUUGAACUGUUGGAACUGAAAAUGCUAUUUGAACUAAUAUUUGGAACUAUUUGAAUCAGUUCCCAAAUUUAAAAAGCAUAACUUAGGGGUGUCAAUUUGGCUCACCGUCUUAGAUUGCUUGUAACUCGGCCCAAAAAAGCCCAAGUCAACCCAACUUGAGGCUUAGUAGAUCAGCUAACACUCGGCCCGAUGCCCCAUGACAAGCUACAUGGGCCAUUUUCGGCUCGUGACAGCCAAGACAUAAAAAAAUAAUAAUAAUAAAAAAUGCUACAUAGCUGCAUGACACGCAACGUGUUGUAGAUAUGUUAUAUUUUAAAAAAAAAAAAUUAGCCAGCUUAACUUGAUAAGGUCCGAGCCGAAAGCUCUAGUCAAACAAAAGCUAGACUCGGCUCUAACCAAAAAAAUCCCGAAUCGUUUUUACUUGAGCUGAGCAAGACUCUCAAGUUUCAGCUCAUGAGUCAGCUCGACUAGACUCGUCGACAUCCCUACAUAGACUAUCAUCAUGAGGUACAAGAAAAGGACAAGACUCGGUGAAGUUGGCACAUGUGGUGAAAUAUUUUCUAUCCAGCUCUCUCCCAAGUCCUACAUAAGGAGUAAAACGGUUGCACAUUUUAUUUUAUGUUGUACUAAACAAAGAGACACCUUAUGUUUAGUCAAAUUUCCGCUAAAAUUCCCCGUCUUUUCUUUUUUUCUUUUUUUCUUUUCCCUUCACCUUUCUUUUUCGGGUUCUUUUUUCUAUUCCUUCCCAUGCGCAUUCACACAUGUGCAUUGUAAUAUUUGCAAAUAGGAAACAUGUUUAUCUUUAUAUUUAUUUUUUCUUGAAAAUUUUACAAAAUAUAUCAUGUAUUUAUGGUAUAUUUGGAAUUUAUACUAAUAUCUACAAUUCCUUAUUAUAAAAAAUUAAACAGAACAAAAUACAUUUUAAUUAAAAAUUACAAAUCGCACCUGUACAUUGAUUUGUAUAACGCUUCACAUCCUAUUUUUUUUAAUUUUUUAUUAUUCUUAAAAAUUUAUUACUAAAGGCAUAUGAUGUAUUAUUCAAUGUUUUUUAGCAUAUGAAAUAUUAUUAAAUGUUUUUUUCUAUAUGUGGGUUAGAAAAUUUAUUAUCUUCUUUUCUUUAAAACUACAACUUGAAAAAGGGAAAAAAAUAGUCAAUUAAUAAUGUGUUGGGAAAAAAUAGGAAAAAAUCAUUUAAAUUUUAUUAUUAAACGGAUUGAUGAAAAUUAUUAGUUGUCAUCAUUUACUAAAUAAGAGCAUCUACGAGAGACUUGGUAAAUAUAGGAUACUCCAUACUUUAGAGAUUUAAUACUUAAAAUAAGCUCAAAAAUAUUUUAUCUUGCCCUUUCACAAUAGAGAGUCAAACUCAUCCAUAUUUUUUAUUUAUAAUGAUAGCAUUUAGUAAGUUACAGAUUCCACUACUAUACUUUCUAAAAAAAAAAAAAAAAGGGGGUACUUUAUGUUAUGAAUGAUUUUACUAACCCAUAAACAUAUCAUGAAAUCCAAUUUAUUUAAAUACAAAAGUAAAUUGACCAUCAUCAUUUAUGCUCAUGUAAUUUAUCGUUCAACAAAGUUUAAAAUUAAUAUGCACGUUCACCAGAUUAAAGUCAACACCAAACACUAAAUUAGGUUUGGGAAAAAAACUAUCGAUUCACUUCAAAUUAUUCUAGAUUUUUUUUUCGCUCAUUCAACAAUAUUUUACUCUUAACCAUUUAUCAUUUUUCAUAUGAUACUUGUAAUUUUUCAAAGAUCAAAUAAUGGUAGGCGUAUCCUCGCUAGACAAAGGAUUAAAAAAUGAGUAAUAAAUUUAGUAGCGUAUUGAAAAAUACUAAAUAGACUGAUUGUCACCAAUCAUGCUUUCAACAAUUUCAGGAUUCUAUCUCAAUCUCCUUUCUUUCAUUCUUUGUAGUUAUAGCUAUAAUUAUUUAAAUCUACAUUUGUUUUAGUUUGUUAUUUGCGGUUUAUCAUUAUAUAUCUACAUUUUGUUUUCUGGGGUUUAUCUGAUACUAUGUCCAUUGUCAUUGUAUUUUAAUUAAACAACUUAAUGUAAUAAAUUAAAUGAUUCGGAUAUAUCUUCUACUUGAAUCAAAUCAUGAAGAAAAGAACGCUAACUGAAUGUAUUUUGUGAGUCAAAUAAUCUGAAACCAUUUUAAUUGUUAUUAGAAUUAAAGAAAAUACGAAUAAAAAAGAAACUCUAAUUAAUAAGAACUCUCUAAAGCCAUAUUCCUUUCAUACUAUGCACAUGGGAAGAAAAUGGAUCAAUCAAGACGUUAAAGAAAUGUCAAAAUCAAUAAUAAUUACAUUUAGUGCAAGUCCAUUUCCAUUAAAUGUGCUUCCAAUUAAAUCUCCCUAUGAACAAGUCACUCCUAGGGUUUCAUGCCAAUCUUGACCCUAUAUAGAAAGAAAUAGAGUAAGGUCAAGUAAAUAGAUUAUAGGAGCAGGUAUUAUAACAACUUUAACAAUUAUUGUACUUCAAUGCUUGAUAGAUAAAAAUAUGUGGAUCAUGCUUGAGGAAAUUUGUUGAUAUUUUUGUUUGCUGACGUGUAUGUGGACCCACCUUAAAUUCUUUUACAAAAGUCAUUUAUACAUAUUUCAUGUGUAGAUUUUUUUAAUAUCCAAUUAACGUACUAGCGAUUCAAGUCCUUUUCAACUCUAAAUUUUGAUCAUCCCAAACUUUGUCUAAAAAAAUUUACGAUCUUUAAAAUCCUAAUAAACUAUAUUUCCAUACUAUAAUUUGCUCAUUUUGUAUCGCUAAAACAAAAACUUGAAUUCCAUUUCAAUGUCAUGUACAUCAUAAAUUUGCUAGAAAUUCAAUAAAGUUAAGAGGUAACAUCAUUUUUAUAUCAUAUGUAUACAAUUUUUUGAUACAUUUUCCCACCCAAAUUUGUUAAUUUUUACGCUCAAAUCAUUAGUGGUGUACAAGUAACGACUAUAAGUAGAAUUCCAGGCCAAUAAAUUAGAGCAUUUGUUAGUGAUUUGAAUGAGUUAUAGCUUAAUUAUGUGCAAAUUGAUGGAAUUGAAAGAAAUGAAUGAAAAAGGAGCAAAAAUGAAAGAAAUCCAAUGUAUGGGGACCAAAGUGUAAAUAUUCAAUGGUUGAUUUGAACCAUAAAAGAUACAUUAAAGAUUGAUAGGAGUCAAUUGAAUGCAAAUCGAAGUAAAAAAGGAAUAAGCUAUGAUCAGAAUAUUAGCAUAAAUCAGCUUCCAAUCACAUAAAAUAUCUUCCAAAUUUUUUUGUCGAAUUGAGACACAUUUUUUGGAUAGUAAAUGUUUGAAUUAGAAAAAUUGUAUUUUAUAAGAAUUGCAUCUCUUUGAAUUAUCUUUCCAAUGUACUUUGAAUCACCUCUAUCAUAUGUUGGAAGGGAAAGUUAUGAUCAAAAUACUGAAAGGUGUGCAGAGACAAAAUCAUGUAUAUGCAAAGACAACUUUUCUUAUUCCAUUAAAACUCUUUCGGAAGGUAAUUUGGAGGUGAAUUUUAACUUAAUUUUAUCAUAUAAAUAUAAGACAUGGAUAGCCAUGAAGAAAACCCUCUCUUAUUUCUUUAUACACAAUAGUUUCAUCAAAUUCAUUAAAUACAAAGUGCCAAUUACUGUAUUUUGAGAGAGGAGAUCAAGCCAUAUGAUCAUUCAAGCUUAUGAGUGGUUAAUUAUUUUAUUUCAUCGGUUUAGGUACCAAACUUGUGGCCUGAUUGCUUAUGUGAAAGUUAUGCAACUAGUCUAACCAGGUUGAAGAACAAUAAAUGCCUUUUAAGGGAAACAAGUUUAUGCAACUAGUCUAACCAGGUUAAAGAACAAUAAAUGCCUUUUAAGGGAAACAAGUUUAAGUGAAUGAACUUGUAAUGAAGAGCUAGCUAUAUAUGUCUUCAAGCUCCAUGCCUCUAAACCAUGUUGUUGAUGUGUUUUGUAUGAAGAGGUACACUUUACUAUUAAUGCUUUCAAUAACUCAUAUAUAUUUCAAGAAGAGUAAUGCUAUUCAUAAUCUCUCACUGCGGUAGUUGUUCUACGUGACAUCCUACAUGACGAUUUAUAAUUUGAUAUAUUAAUGUAAUAAUCUUUUCUUGUCACGUAUAUCAAAUAUUAACUGCUAUACGCAUGUCACGUAGGACGACUGCGUUAGUGAGUUACUGCAAAUAACAUCAUUCUUUCAAGAAACCUAACUGGAAAGUCAUAAAUGCUACACUAAAGGCAAAUAACACACCCUAUUUACGAGAAAAAUAACUCUUAAUUCCACAAUUACUUCAAAAAUAAUUUGAAGUUCAGUUUCACGUGUAAAUUAUUAUUUUUAAUCAACGAGGGACAACUUUAUGCAAGCCACCGGGAAUGAAAAGAAUGCAAUAGACAAAUUGCAAAGCCUGAUUUCUGGGCAAUAUUUUAAAGUUUCUCUGGCAUGUAAGCAUUUCGGAUUGAAAGGUGAAUGGAAAGCAUGGGCAGCUGAUGUAUGAAAAUCUUUAUAAAUCCAAAGAACCGGUUUAUCCUAUGGCUAAGCACUCAAGCUAAGCUCCUAACAAAUGACAAGUUGGUGUACCUUAAUAUCGAUGGAACAUGUGAUCUAUGUGAAUCAUCAACUGAAAACGAUUCAAUACUUAUUCUUUCAAUGUUCAUUGAGCUCCUCCAUUUAGACGCAGAUAAGAUCAUGGCUUGGCAUUACUAGAUCAAUGACUAUGAUUGGUAGUGUAUUGAAGUGGAUAAAAAAGGAGGCACGUGGGACAUCUUGGCGUAAUAAAAUGAAGAGAAUUGCUCUUGCAAGUACAGCUUACUACAUAUGGAUGGCUCGAAAUAGAAUUUUUUUUGAAGAUCUUAAGUUACAUUUGGAUAGCAUAGUGAGACGGACUAAAACACAUGUAUAUAAAGUCAUGUUUUCUUUGUAUCCUAAUAUUUUGGUUCAUUUUGAAUCUCUAACGUUGUGUUGAUAGAUCCUUGUCGUUUGUACAUCUUUUAAUUUUUAUUUGCUCGGGUACGUCCGGUGUAAUUGUACAUGAGUUUUUGAUAAAUGGAAUUUACAUUUACCAAUCAAAAAAAGUUAACUUGUUGCAUUUUAGGGUGGUUGGAAGGUAAAGAAAAUGACACCAUGGAGUAUGUAGCAAUAAGUUAUUGGGCUUUUGAUUGUACUGUCAUUAUGCAUCUCUAGUAAGGCUGACAUCGUGUGAUUAAUAUUGAAGGUUGCAUCCAUGCCAAUAUUGUAGGUGCUUAUGACUUAGAAUAAUGAGAGUUGGAAAAUUUGCAAAAGCUAAAAAUUUAGAGUCCAUAAUAAAUCUUUGAAUCAUUCAAUUUAAUUAUAUUCACCAAAAGAUUAAUUAAGCUAAUUAACAACCACAAUAAUCUAGGUGGAAUAUUAGAAUAUAGAUAAAACUAGACAAAAUUAAACAAGGAUGUUAAUAUUUUAUUUAUAGUAUUGGUCAUCUAUCACAAGACACUGUCCUAAAAAUCAAAUGUACCUUGGUAGCUUGCACAAAAACUUAUUGCCUGGAAAUGACAAGACGAGCAUCCAAAAGACUGAGAAUUUCUAAAGGUUAUACAUCUCCUUUCCAAGAGAAAUAAUUAGAUGUAUGCAUGGGCAAGACUCACGUCAACAUAAAAAUAAUAAUAAGUUUCAUGGUUCAUUUUCAACUUUUUGUUAAUGUUAUGGAACAAUUCACAUGAGUUUAGACGAGAGUAAAAAUAACAAACUAGCAUUCAAAAGUAGGCUUUACGUUUUUUUUUUAUGUGCAUGAUGACAUUUUAGAUGAAGAAAUUAUUAAAAAAAAUUAAGAUGAAAAUCAGACAAUAAAAUCGUAUUUUAAAUAUUUCCCGUCCAGUACAAUGUAUAGAGAAAUUGUUUGAAUAUCCAUUAUUUUGGAAAUUUAAGACAUUUUGAUAGAUAAAAACUACUACUCGAAUUUGAAAAAUCUUAAAAUUGAGCUGCUUGACAUGAAGUUUAGGAUGUUGAUUCUUAAUCCAAGUCGCAGUUGUGGCCGAGACACUAAGGAAGUGGUGAUAAAGUCAUGAUCGAUAGGUUUGAAUCCACUUUGUGAAUAAGUCAAAAUAAGAAGAUACAAGGGGAGUUCUUCUAAUGUUCUUUUGUCAAUUUUGCAAAAUUAUUAAAAAAAGGAUACUAUUGUACUUUUGAUUGAUUAAUUGGUGAGUUGUUUAACCCGUGGCAUGGGGACUAUGGAUAUUUUCCUUCAAGGUUUACCAUGUUAUAUUCAGUGUCUGAGUUUAAAUGUGAUACUUAAUUGAGCAUUUACUUAAAAACUAUUUGAACGCAUUAUCCACCUGCACGUUACAAUCAGAACCGUUAAGAACUUACUAUAGGAAGUUCGGACUAUUUCUCAACCAGUAUUAUAAUUGUGAAAUUAAAAUUCAAUUCUAAUUUAUCUAGGUUUAGAAUCUACAACAUUAAUUGCUAAUUGUUUAUAAAAAAAUUCGCCACAGUGGUUGCGAAACUUUUGGGCAAUGCGAACUCAAUUGUGAUUGAAAUUUAAGGUUCUAUAAAGAUUUCUCGAUAAUUAAGUUUACGUUUUAUGUGGUAAUACAUAUAGUAGAUAAGUUUUCUUUAAAUAAAAAUCGAAUAUACAGUAUCCUAGAAUUAUUAUUACCUACAUCAUAACUUAAAUUUAUUUGCAUUUUCUUAAAUGAGUGUUUCCAAGUUGUUAGAAUAUCCAUAGCUCAUAUCUAUAUAUUGAAAUUAGAUAAAACUAUGCGAAUUUUGAAAAAGACAUAUAUAAUUUAGCAUUUAUCAAUUAUUCAAUUUAGUUUUACCAUUUUAAUAUAUUGGAUGCACUAUUAAUUAAAUAUUUAUCGAAUUGAGAAUUUUAUUUUGUUAUCAUUCUAAUCGCUGUGAUUGUCAUUUUUUUCCUUCUCUUUUCAUGAAUAGAAAUAUUUAAUAGUUCAUUGAAUCCAUUGGUUGACCUAGAAUAUAUUUGAGAACCUGGAUUUAUUUUAUAUAAUAAGAAAGCCAUAACCGAUUUUUCAAAUUCUAUUAUUAUUUUGUAAUAUUUAUUGUGAUCGAAGCAGUUCUUUUGUGGAGCAUAUCUUCAUACUCUUAUGACAUUGUAAAAGAGAGAAAGGGGUGCUAUGUAGUGAGAAUCAUUAUAAUUAUAUACCAAGAAAUUCUUGUUGGACACAAGACAAACACUAAAUAUUUGAAGAGAUGGGAUGCUUCUCACAAUACCCAUAUGGACAGUCGGUCAAUAUUUCAAGUGAUAUUAUUUUACUCAACAACAAAAUAUUUAACUAAUAUUUAUAUGGUCAUCCGAACUUGUGAUUGUGGUUAAUUAUUUUAUUUCAUUGAUUUAGGUACCAAACAUGCUUUUUGAGGGAAACAAGUUUAAUUGAGGGAAACAAUAAAUGUCUUCACCUACAUGCCUCUAAACCACGUUGAAGAACAAUGAAUGUUUUUUUGAAGAAAACAAGUUUAAUUGAUUGAACUUGUAUUGGAAGGUAGCCAUAUAUGUCUUCAAGGUACCUGCCUCUAACCAGGCUAUUGAUGUGUUUUAUAUGAAGAGGUACACAUUACUAUUAAUGCUUUCAAUAACUUGUAUACAUUUCAAGAAAUCCAGUUGGAAAGUCAUAAAUGCUACACAUAAGGCAAAUAACUCACCUUAUUCCAGAGAAAAGUAACUCCCAUACCGCGAUUAGUUCAAAAAUAUUCUGAUGUUCUGUUUCACGUGUAAAUAAUUAUUUUUAGUUGGAAUAUAUAUGCUACUUGUAUAUAAUGUGAUGUCCAUAAUGUCAUCCACCCCCCACAUAUGGAGGGGGACCCACGGUAGCAUCACCCUUUUUAGUCAACGCCACUGAUCAAUAUAAAGCUUGAAGAAUUAGCAUUUCAUUUGUUCUUUUUUUAUUAUUAUUCUUCUUCUUCUUCUAUUUAAUUAUAAUAAACUGGAAAUGUUUCACAAUACUUGAUUUGAAAAUGCAUUUGCAUUGUGCUCUUUUCUUAAAAUUUGAUUCAAGUAGGUGAUAUAUUCAAAUCAAUUAAUUGGUUGCAGUAUAGGGAGGUUGAGAGGUAAAAACUCUAUGUCUUUCAAGAAAAUGGCAUUGUGGAGUAUGUAGCAAUAAAUUAUUGGGCAUUUGCUUGUUUGGUUACUAUGCAUCUCUAGUAAGGUUGACGUCCUGUGAUCACCACUUGAGGUGGAAUCCAUGCCAAUAUUGUGGUGCUUAUAAUGACUUAGGGAUUAUGAGAAUUGAAAAUUAUGCAAAAAAAAAAACUAAAAAUUUAGAGUUGAUUAUAAUUUUUUUGUGCCAUUCAAUUUAAUUAUGUUCAUCAAAAGAUCAAUUAAUUAACUAACAAUCGCAAUAAUUGGGGUGGAUUAUUAUAAUUAGAUAACACUAGACAAAAUUAUAUAAGGAUGUUAAUAUUUCCUUUAUAAUAUUGAUGAUCCACCCCAAGACACUGUCCUUGAAAUCUAAUGUACCUUGGUAGCUUGAACAAGAUUCAUUCAGAUUUUGUGUUACUAAUGUGUCGUCAAAAAUAUAAACCAAGGACUAGGAUAACUAAAAUGGAAGAGAAAAGGGAUUUUAUGGCGGAGUAGAUCGGGGCUAUUCCUUUACGUGUAAAUUUAAGUUAAAUUGAACUGUUAAAGAUUGAUCACACCAGAAAAAAUAUUCUAUCAUUGAGCUUAUUUUCUUCUUGUCUUUGUCAUUUGUUCAAAUGAUAAAAUAUUGAGGGCGUGGUAAAGCAUAUGUGGUGGCAUAUUGGAGGAGUAGGGUUCUAGAGAGAUCAUAUAUUUGUUACAAUUUCAUAUGUAGCAGUAGUCCGUAAUUUCUUCGAUUUUUAAAUUAAUUAUGUAAAAAUUUUGUUAUUUUUCUCCAUAUAUAUUCAUAUAUAUUUCUCUCUAGCAAUACAUUUUGAGUACAAAGAUCAUGUGACCAAAUUAUGUUCUCCUAACAUAUUAUUGACUUCAUACACGUAGAGUAAUAACAAGAACUUUUAUAUUUAUGCAUUAACAAUUGAAUGAUGGAAGCACGUGCAUAUCUACCAAACCCCCUCCCCCAUGUGUAUAUAUGUAUCACACAUAAGAUGAGAGAAGGAUAGAAAACAAAAUCAAAAUUUCAGGUUGUUAGAGAAAAAAACUUAAAACAGAUGUUUCCUUCAGUGAUUUUCACGUUCUUGGCUGCCUUUCAGUUCCAUACUUUUGAAUUUCUAGUAUGUGCAACUGAUGAAAAGAGUAUCUUCAUACUCGCCGGCCAGAGCAACAUGGCUGGCCGAGGUGGUGUGACAAAUGGGACUUGGGAUGGUUGUGUCCCUCAUGAAUGCCGUCCUGACCCAAGGAUUCUUAGACUUAACCCAAAGCUGAUGUGGGAGGAAGCACGUGAACCUCUACAUGGAGGCAUCGACACAAAACCUUGUGGGGUGGGACCGGGGAUGUCAUUUGCAAAUUCAGUGCUACAAAGAGAUCCUUGCCUCGGGGUGAUCGGUUCGGUCACCUGUGCUCCUGGUGGAACCAAUAUAACCGAGUGGAAACAAGGCUCCGAUCUUUAUUAUCGGCUCUUGAAGAGAGCUAAUGCAGCACUACGAGAUGAAGGAAAAAUUCGAGCAAUUCUGUGGUAUCAAGGUGAAAGUGAUUCUGCAGAUGAAACAAGAGCUAAAAUGUAUAAGAAGAGGUUGAUAGAAUUUUUCCUUCACAUCCGGCGAGAUUUACCUUCCCCUGUGCUCCCAAUUAUUCAGGUAUGGUUACUUUGCAAAAUUUGCGUAAGGUGAACUGAUAUUCUUUAGAUCUGGUUUGAUUUUUCGUCCUAUUUUCUUAAUCAACCACAUGGGGUUUUAAUUUUGGAUCAAAUUGAUUUUUUCGGGAUCUUUUCGAUUACUCAUUCUCUUUGCACUCUGCAUUUUAAUUCCGUUGAUCAACAUAUGCCGUUGGUCUGGUAAUUUUAGACUUCCCCCUAAAAAUGGGGUUUUCAGUUCGUCAUCAAUGAGUUUUCAUCUGAAAAUGUGCUGAAAUUAGUUGCUAAUUGGUUUUAUUGUAUUUAUGCUUAAUGGUUUCGGGGGCAUUUUUGUACAACUUUUUGAAGUUUUGUUAAAAUGACAGUAUUUGUUUUCAUUUUCCAAUGAUUCUCAUAUAUAUAUGUCAAUUAAUUGUAUCUUGUCAGCACAAGGAAUAUUUUAUAUCGAAUAAAUCAUAAAAUUAUAUGAUAAUUGGUUGCAGGUGGCAUUGGCUUCAAAUGCAGGGCUCUAUUACGAGGUUGUAAGAAAGGCCCAACUAGAGAUAAAACUUCCAAAUGUAAUAUGUGUUGAUGCCAAGGGACUGGAGGUGAAGAAAAACGAUACACUUCAUCUUACUACUUCAGCCCAAGUCCACCUAGGAAAAAUGUUGGCUAAUGCCUUUUUCGAUAUUGGAAUUUAUAGUGUUUUGAUCAAGGCAUGGGUGGAAAAAACAUAUUAAAUGGGUAAUAUAGUACUUGUUUGAUAUAGAUUUUUAGCAAACAAUACUAUAUGAAAAUUGUUAAAAGACAAUCAUUGAAGUAGUAGUUAGUGAGAGGAAAAAAAAAAAAAAAAACCUCGUAUAAAUUGUUGCGUAUUCGUUGCAAAAGACAAAAUUCAUUGUCGAAUGGACAAAUAUUUUCUUAAUCAAAAAAUCAACAGUACAAAGAAUUAUUUUUGAAAACUGAAGUUGAAGUUACACUUAAGGAAACCCAUAGUUGCCAAGUUGAGUUGAAGAGUUCUACCCCCAUCAGGCUUUUACUACCUCAUUCGAUUACUUUUUUAAACUUGUUUAGGUGCCUAUAUAAUAUUGUUGAGCAAAUGUUUAAUAUGGAAGGAACUUGUGUAAUUACCUAUAUAAUUUUGUUGAACAAAUGUUUAACUUGGUAGAAGCCUGUCAAGAAAUUAAUGAUAAUUACUAUAGAUGAUUUUCACCUGAAAUAAAACAUUUGAAGCUUUUAACAGCAAUGAACACGUGUCAAUCAAUAAGACAGAAUUAUCUUGAGAUUUACAUCGGUGCUAUCCAACC
This 66901-nucleotide long non-coding RNA is filed under the name Olea europaea (common olive). Its description in RNAcentral is "long non-coding RNA (OEUR_LNC013657)". Lineage: Eukaryota; Viridiplantae; Streptophyta; Magnoliopsida; Lamiales; Oleaceae. The record is from RNAcentral.